This 46702-nucleotide long non-coding RNA is filed under the name Solanum tuberosum (potato). Its description in RNAcentral is "long non-coding RNA (STUB_LNC006876)". The stretch from base 41090 to 41207 matches the Rfam family "U5 spliceosomal RNA". Lineage: Eukaryota; Viridiplantae; Streptophyta; Magnoliopsida; Solanales; Solanaceae. The record is from RNAcentral.
UUUUUUUUCUUUUUGACAAUUAAAUUUUCGUUCUCUUAGUGCUUGGUAAAUUUGAUAUGUAGUAACAUGAUUUGUUGAAAAAGUUCUUGAUAUGUACCUCAAUCACUAUUCUUUGAUUUGCAUGAGAUCCACUUAACUGAGUGUUAUGCUCUGUAAUGCCGGAGUUAUAGAUCAUCUUAGGUAGUGUUAUAUAAAAAGUAGUAUGUUUUAUGUGUGUGAACUUGUAAGUUGUUAGGUCUUUUUCUAUUUGUUUCAACUGUGUUCUUAAUCUUCAGAUUACUGUGAGGCUGUCUUCCUUGUGAUUAUGUAGACAAGGACACAAGGUAGAGUAGGUGUUUAGUAUACAGAUGCUGUUUAGGCCAUUAUAGUCAUGGCAUGAAGAUGUCAGGAUGCUCUUUGUCUUAUAUCUAUUUUUUGGCUUCUUGUGUAUUUAUUUGUGUUGUUAAGUUUCUUGGCCGUUGCAGAACUCGGAUGUAACAGAAGCUAUUCAGAAGGUUGCUGCUGCCUAUGACUGCAAGAUUGUCGAGGGUGUAUUGAGCCAUCAAAUGAAGCAGUUUGUUAUUGAUGGAAACAAAGUUGUAUUGAGCGUGUCCAAUCCUGACACAAGAGUAGAUGAAGCAGAAUUUGAAGAGAAUGAGGUCUACUCCAUUGAUAUCGUGACAAGCACUGGUGAUGGAAAGGUAUGGAUGUGUAUUGCACCUUUGACAUCUGAAUAUCUAAUAUUACGAGUUCUCCUCGUGAAUCUCACAGUUUAUUUUCCCGGGCCUUUCUUAAACUUUGCAGCCCAAGUUGUUGGAUGAGAAACAGACAACCAUCUACAAGAGAGCUGUAGACAAAAGCUAUAACCUGAAGAUGAAAGCCUCAAGGUUCAUCUUCAGUGAAAUCAGUCAGAAGUUCCCUAUCAUGCCAUUUACCGCAAGGUCCGAUGAUUUUCUCAAAAUUCAUAUUCAACUGUAGUAAUUUAGAAGUUUCAUGAUAAUAGUGAUGUCUGGUUUCACAGAGAAUGCUGUUUACUUACUCUCUUAUUUUUACUUGAUCAGGGAUUUGGAGGAGAAGAGGGCUCGUUUGGGCCUUGUUGAAUGUGUUAACCAUGAGCUUUUGCAGCCAUAUCCUGUUCUACAUGAGAAACCUGGUUGGUACCAUUUUCUUCAGUAUUCAAAAUUUAGAUGUAAGUUUUGUCGAUAAUAUCCCUUGUUCGUUUUCAUCAUCUUUUGUUGCUUACGCAGGUGAUUUGGUUGCUCACAUUAAGUUCACAGUGCUGUUAAUGCCCAAUGGAUCGGAUAGGGUAACAUCUCAUGCGCUCCAGGAGCUUCAGCCUACAAAGACAACAGAGAAUGAACCUGAAAUCAAGGCUUGGCUAGCCCUUCCCACCAAGACUAAGAAGAAAGGUGGUGGGAAGAAAAAGAAAGGUAAUUCAAAAUGCAUUUGCAAAAUAUAUUUACUGAAUCGAUGUUGCAAAACUUGUUUUUACCAGUUACUUUUGAAUUCUGAUAUCUUACCCCCUUUGCAUGAGCAGGAAAGAAAGGUGACAAGGUAGAAGAGGCAUCUCAAGCUGAGCCUAUGGAAGGAUAGUGAAGUGGCUCCAAAACUUUCAUACUUGCAAUUUUGAGGUGCUUUGAUCGAUCAACUUUACUGAAACUAUUGGUUCAGUGUGAGUUGAUUCGGCACACGUUGAGCUGCUUAUGUUCAUCUUUGUGGGGUUAUGAAAGACAAUUAUUGUACCCGUUCAUGUUAAGUUGUUCUCCUUAGGUUUUUCAAUGCUAUUCAAAAUUCUCUUAUCAUUUAAAUUUUAAACCUUCAAUAAGUCCGUAUUGUGCUCUUCUCUAUUUGUUUGAAGUUAGAAAGAUCACAUUUUUGUUUCUGAUAUUGACAAAUAUGGACUGACUUCAGUAAAAUCAAACAUGAAUAGGAAACAUAACAAUCAUUUUUCUGAUUCUACUAGAAAAAAUGUUUCAAAGUUUUUAGUAGAAGAAUCUCACCUUUUAAUCAGCUCUUCAUCAAGAAAUGCUAAAGCCUAAAGUUAAUAGGAUACCGGGUCUUUUUGCUUUAAGCAAAUUUGAAUGACUAUUUUAUAAAAUGUGUCAAGUUAAGUGGUUAUCUAUGCAUUUAAUAAUCGAAUUGAUUGAAGAAAUUUGUACUUGGUACAUCUUCAUGAAAUAUUCAAAAUCAUUGCACAAUUAUAUAACUAUUUAUCAACUAAUUUACAUUUGAUGUUAACGAUUGUGAAUUCGAGUAAUCUAGGAAAGAAAAAUGUUGGAGUGCCUAGGAAGAUCACUACAAAAUGGUAAUGACCUACCAUAUCUUUGAACGAGGCUCAUCGUGAUAACAACUUAUAAAUAUAUUGAAUUUAAAAUUGUAUAGUGAAUAAGUAAAGCCAUUUAUAUUUUAAAAAUACUUUUACUUUGCUAUAAAUAUGAGUAAUAGUUGUACUAUGAGUCUAUGACUUCACGAUAUUAGUCAUAAAUUUAUAAUUAUGCAAUAAUUAUAUUAAUUUGAAUUGUAUUUGAUAUAGUAAAAAUCUGUUCAUCUUUAAUUAGUUUUCGAUUCGCUCCUACAAUGAUUUUCUUUUAUUUAGAGUCUAUUUCCUAUAGAUAAGUCCUAAGCUCUGCCAUGCGUAAUCUAAAUUUCAUCGCGUUUAAAUAUGAUGUCAAAUGAAUGAAAAAUAAUAAAAAGAAGACAUAAUACACGUAAAAAUAUACUUUUACUAAUAUUUGUAUUCUCAAAUUAUAUGUCAAAUUGCAUGAGAUUUUCUAUGUAGUAUGCACAUGGUUAUUUAUUUAAUUUAAUUUAAAAAAUCUAUUUAUGCACGCUCAAAAAUCGAUAAUUAGAGGGAAAAAAUAGUGUGGUAAUUGUAGAUCUAGAAUUGAUUUUAUUGUAGUUCAAAGGCUCACUACGGUAGGGCAUCAAUCAAAUAACACUUGACUCCAUACAAACUCGGCUUCUUCAAUCCUUAGAGGCGGCUACUUGUCCUCCGAUUCUUCGAGUCGGUUGUGAGCCCUAGAUAUUACUACUACUAAUCAGUUAGUGUAUAGUAUUAUUUCUACUUGCGGCAUAGUCGGAAGCGUUCGAAUCUCUCUCUUUGACUCCGGUGAGUGCAAAGCUUUUUUGUUAAUUCGUCUUUAUUGCUGUUAUUGUUUUUCGUUUGAACUUGUAUCUGCGUUUUCCCAACUGUAUUGUCAAUUUUUGAAUUUUGUAGUUGUACUUAGGGUUUAGCUAUUUGAGCCGACUGAUUUGAGUAGUUGAGUUUUUUUUUUUGAAUUUUAGGUUUUCUGAUUUUCGACUGAAAUAUGUCGAAUUUGGGCGGUGGUGCAGAAGCACAUGCACGUUUCAAACAGUAUGAGUACAGAGCGAACUCAAGUCUUGUUCUAACUACUGAUUCUCGUCCCCGAGAUACUCAUGAACCCUCUGGUGAACCUGAGUCUCUUUAUGGAAAAAUUGACCCUAAAUCAUUUGGUGAUCGAGCUUACAAGGGUAGACCUCCAGAGUUGGAUGAGAAACUUCAGAAGGCUAGGAAGAAGAAGGAGCGGGAACCACUUGUCUCUGAGCCCACUAGGCAAAGUAAGAAGAGACGGCUUCAGGAAGAAAGUGUUCUUACUUCGAGUGAGGAAGGUGUUUACCAGCCUAAAACAAAGGAAACUAGGGCUGCUUAUGAGGCUAUGCUCAGCUUGAUUCAGCAGCAACUUGGGGGACAGCCUCUCAACAUUGUGAGUGGAGCAGCUGAUGAGAUGUUGGCGGUGUUGAAAAAUGAUAACUUCAAGAACCCUGAAAAGAAAAAGGAAAUUGAGAAGCUGUUAAAUCCUAUAUCGAAUCAGGUGUUUGAUCAGUUGGUGUCAAUUGGGCGACUCAUUACUGACUAUCAGGAUGGUGGCGAUGCAUCAGCGUCUGCUGCAGCUGACGGCGAUGAUGGUCUUGACGAUGAUGUCGGUGUAGCAGUUGAGUUUGAGGAGAAUGAAGAAGAAGAAGAAGAGAGUGAUCUUGAUGUGGUACCUGAUGAUGAAGAGGAGGACGAUGAUGUGAUGGAAGCCAGUGCUUCUGGUGCUAUGCAGAUGGGCAGUGGCAUUGAUGAUGAUGAGAUGCGGGAUGCCGAUGAGGGAAUGGCCUUGAAUGUUCAGGACAUAGAUGCUUAUUGGCUUCAAAGAAAGAUCUCUCAAGCUUAUGAGCAGCAGAUCGAUCCCCAACAGAGCCAAAAGCUUGCUGAAGAGGUUCUUAAAAUUCUUGCUGAAGGCGAUGAUCGUGAAGUAGAAACAAAGCUGCUGGUGCAUCUCCAAUUUGAUAAGUUCAGUCUCAUCAAAUAUCUUCUGCGCAACCGGCUAAAGGUAGUAUGGUGUACCCGCCUUGCAAGGGCAGAAGACCAAGAGAAUAGGAAGAAAAUUGAAGAAGAGAUGUUGGGGUUGGGGCCAGAUCAUGUGGCUAUAUUAGAACAGUUGCAUGCUACUAGGGCUACUGCAAAAGAGAGGCAGAAGAAUCUGGAGAAAAGCAUUAGGGAAGAGGCUAGGCGUCUUAAAGAUGAGUCUGGUGUUGAUGGUGAUGGAGAAAGGAAGGCACUUGUAGAUAGAGAUCUUGAUAAUGGUUGGUUAAUGGGGCAGCGUCAGUUUCUUGAUCUUGACAGCCUUGCAUUUCAGCAAGGCGGUUUGUUGAUGGCAAAUAAGAAAUGUGAGCUUCCAGUUGGGUCUUACAGGAAUCAUAAGAAGGGGUACGAGGAAGUUCACGUGCCAGCAUUGAAGCCAAGGCCACUAGACCCUGGUGAAGAGCUUGUGAAGAUAUCCUCCAUUCCAGAGUGGGCUCGACCAGCAUUCAGUGGGAUGACCCAAUUGAACAGGGUGCAGAGUAAAGUAUAUGAGACUGCCCUUUUUUCUCCGGAGAACAUUUUGCUCUGUGCUCCAACUGGUGCCGGGAAGACCAAUGUAGCUAUGCUCACUAUACUUCAGCAAAUUGCACUAAACCGCAAUGAAGAUGAUGGUACAUUCAACCACAACAACUAUAAGAUCGUAUAUGUGGCACCCAUGAAAGCCCUUGUUGCUGAAGUGGUUGGUAAUCUCUCCAAGCGUUUGGAACAUUAUGGUGUCACAGUGAAAGAGUUGAGUGGUGAUCAAACAUUAACUCGUCAACAGAUUGAAGAGACUCAAAUUAUCGUGACUACCCCAGAGAAGUGGGAUAUUAUAACCAGAAAGUCGGGCGAUCGCACAUAUACACAGCUUGUUAAACUUCUUAUUAUUGAUGAGAUUCAUCUCCUGCAUGACAACAGAGGUCCUGUCUUGGAGAGUAUCAUUGCUAGAACUAUUCGACAGAUCGAAACCACCAAAGAGCAUAUUCGUCUUGUUGGAUUGUCAGCAACUCUUCCAAAUUAUGAGGACGUGGCUGUGUUUUUGCGAGUGGAUCUGAAGAAAGGACUCUUCCAUUUUGACAAUAGCUAUAGGCCUGUUCCGUUGGCUCAGCAGUAUAUUGGAAUUACAGUUAAGAAGCCACUGCAGAGAUUCCAGUUGAUGAAUGACGUUUGCUAUGAGAAGGUGAUUAGUAUUGCAGGAAAGCAUCAGGUGCUUAUUUUUGUCCAUUCAAGGAAGGAAACAUCUAAAACAGCUCGUGCGAUACGGGAUACUGCACUUGCUAAUGACACCCUUGGUAAGUUUUUGAAGGAGGACAGUUUAACUCGGGAACUUCUACAGUCGCAAACUGAGCUUGUGAAGAGCAAUGAUCUCAAAGAUCUUUUACCAUAUGGUUUUGCUAUUCAUCAUGCGGGGAUGGUUAGAACUGAUCGGCAACUUGUGGAGGAUCUUUUUGCUGAUGGCCAUGUGCAAGUGUUGGUUUCAACAGCCACUUUAGCAUGGGGUGUCAAUUUACCUGCACAUACUGUGAUUAUAAAAGGUACCCAGAUUUACAAUCCUGAGAAAGGAGCAUGGACUGAACUCAGUCCUCUUGAUGUUAUGCAAAUGCUUGGUCGCGCUGGACGUCCUCAGUAUGACACCUAUGGUGAAGGAAUCAUAUUAACGGGCCACAGCGAAUUGCAAUAUUAUUUGUCCCUGAUGAAUCAGCAGCUGCCAAUAGAAAGUCAAUUUAUCUCCAAGUUGGCAGAUCAGUUAAAUGCCGAGAUUGUCCUCGGGACUGUGUUGAAUGCCAAGGAAGCAUGUAAAUGGCUCCUGUAUACUUACCUCUAUGUCCGCAUGGUACGGAAUCCCACACUUUAUGGUCUACCUGCUGAUGCUCUCAAGACUGAUUAUGCUUUGGAGGAAAGGCGUGCUGACUUGGUAAGUCUUACAUAUAUUCCACUUGCUGUUCCUUUCUUUCCUUACUUUAUUUUUGAUAAAAGUUUCAUUAAUAGUGCCAAGAAGGCACUGCAAAAUAUAAAGAACAAAAUUUACAUUUUCACCAUCUGUUUCAUCCCUAGGAACUCUGAAAGUCAACAUGUACUGAGACAAAUUUUCUAUCUUGUUGUUCCUACACCAGACACAUAAAUUAUGAAUACAUUUAUUUUUUACAAAUGAUAUGUGUUUGUUUUUUGUGUCCUUGAAAGAAUCUCUCUUAGAAAAAGAUCCUAGAUUUGUCUUGUUUGCCUGCAAAGGAAAAAUAGAUGGCCAAUCAAAACCAGCAUCUACUGCACAGGGAGAAGCCUUUUCAUGUAAAAUUCUAUGAGCUAAACUCACAUUCCUUACAGCAGUCCAACCAAAACAAGAAAACCUUAGAAGAUGCUUUUUACUCUCACAACAUUUUCCAAGGCCAAGACUUAUUCCACCUGUCUGGUUGUUUCUGUAGAAGGGUAUACCAGCUUUUAACAAAGAUUGUUCUAUCCUGACUUGCUUUCCAGUCUGGGAAUCUAGCCGGCACACAUCAAGGUUUAUAGAUUCCAAAAUAUAUAAAAAUUUGCUAAUCUUCAUCCAUUUUCCCAGUCAUGAAGUUUCUUCUUUAAUUUGAAUGCCACCGCAAGUCAGUGUAACAGUUGGCAACUGUACUAUCUUUGCUUACAGCUAAGCUACACAAUACAGGAGAUUUGUCCAUUAAUUAUUCUAUCUCCCAACCAAAAAUCUGUCCAGAAAGAAUCCUGCAGCCGCUGCCAUCAUUUAGUUGGACAUGGUGCUGGAAUUCAGACCAAAGCUUGCAUAUAUUCUUUCAAACUCCUAUAUAAGUAGGCACAUACACUGAAUUGGUGCGCCAAAUUUGCUUCACCAUAUUUAACAGUAAUUAUUGCUUUACAACCUCAAUUCUCAUUAAAGAUCUGCGACCAUCUAAUUGACAAACUCAUAAUAUGAUAUUCUCUUGGUUGCACCAUAUUUUUGUAUUGCUAAAUGUUGUUCAAAUGGCUUGCUCAGAUUCUCCAUGAUUAAUAAUCUUGUGUUCCCGUGAAUAUUGAUGCCAAUCAUGGAAAAAAGUAAUGUCUAAUAGUUGAGUGAGUAUUUAUGUUAAUGCUUAGUUUAUAGUAGUUAGAUCGUUCUUGGUGAGUUGAUGCCAGCUAGUUGUUUAUAUGGAGAGCUAAUUUCCAUUAGUUUGAAUGAAACAGAGCAGAGACUAACCUUCAAUAUAAUUAUUUCUAUGAUAAUCAAUGGUAGUAAUAUCCAACAUAUGUGCUGUAUUUCUUCCAUCCUUGAAAUUGUUGUUAUGUCUUAUUGUACUGAUAGUUUGACAUUCAAAUUGUAUUUUGUUCCAUCUUAGCUGAAAAGCAUCGAUAAUUCCUUCAGAGUUUGAAAUACUUGCUUGCAGGUACAUUCUGCUGCUAUAUUGCUGGACAAGAAUAACUUGGUCAAGUAUGACAGAAAAAGUGGAUAUUUCCAGGUGACUGACCUGGGUCGCAUUGCGAGUUAUUAUUAUAUAACUCACGGGACAAUUUCCACGUACAAUGAGCAUUUGAAGCCUACGAUGGGUGACAUUGAACUUUGCAGGCUUUUCUCUCUUAGUGAGGAAUUCAAAUAUGUUACAGUCAGACAAGAUGAGAAAAUGGAAUUGGCGAAGCUUCUAGAUCGUGUUCCUAUCCCAAUAAAAGAGAGUCUUGAGGAACCUAGUGCCAAGAUCAAUGUACUAUUGCAGGCAUAUAUUUCACGGCUGAAGCUUGAAGGUUUGUCCCUGUCAUCCGACAUGGUUUAUAUCACUCAGGUUUGUUGUGUUGUAUAAAUAACCUCCUAUAUAGUUGCUUGUUAUUUCUUUAAUCAUUUGUGAUUUGGUGUUAUCUGAUAGCGAAUUAUCUAACUUUGUUAUUUGCUUUUGCAGAGUGCUGCACGUCUGAUGCGAGCCCUUUUUGAGAUUGUUCUGAAAAGGGGAUGGGCUCAGUUAGCUGAGAAGGCCUUAAAAUGGUGCAAAAUGAUAAGCAAGAGGAUGUGGAGUGUACAGACACCACUUCGCCAAUUCCAUGGCAUACCAAAUGAAAUCUUGAUGAAGUUGGAGAAGAAAGAUUUGGCUUGGGAGCGUUAUUAUGAUCUUUCAUCACAAGAAUUGGGAGAGCUUAUCCGGUUCCCAAAGAUGGGAAGGACAUUACACAAGUUCAUUCAUCAGUUCCCAAAGCUGAACCUUGCUGCACAUGUUCAACCAAUUACGCGGUCAGUCUUGAGGGUUGAAUUGACGAUUACACCGGAUUUCCAAUGGGAAGACAAGGUUCAUGGUUAUGUAGAACCUUUCUGGAUAAUUGUUGAAGAUAAUGAUGGGGAGUUUAUUCUUCAUCAUGAAUAUUUCAUGUUGAAGAAGCAGUAUAUUGAUGAGGACCAUACUUUGAACUUCACAGUCCCAAUAUAUGAGCCACUGCCCCCACAGUAUUUCAUUCGGGUUGUCUCUGACAAAUGGCUUGGGUCCCAGACUGUUUUACCCGUCUCUUUCCGACAUCUGAUUUUGCCAGAGAAAUAUCCUCCUCCCACCGAGUUACUAGACUUGCAACCUCUGCCAGUUACUGCAUUGAGGAAUCCAGCAUAUGAAGCACUUUAUCAAGAUUUCAAGCAUUUCAAUCCGGUUCAGACUCAGGUUUUCACAGUGCUGUACAAUUCAGAUGACAAUGUCUUGGUUGCAGCUCCAACUGGUAGUGGGAAGACUAUUUGUGCUGAAUUUGCCAUAUUGAGGAAUCAUCAGAAAGGACCUGAUAGUACCAUUCGUGCUGUGUAUAUAGCUCCACUAGAGGCUCUUGCUAAGGAGCGGUUCAACGAUUGGAAAACGAAAUUUGGGGACCAUCUGGGAAUGAGGGUUGUUGAAUUAACUGGAGAAACCGCCAGUGAUCUGAAGCUGUUGGAGAAGGGUCAACUAAUUAUCAGCACACCUGAGAAAUGGGAUGCUUUGUCUCGUCGCUGGAAACAACGUAAGCAUGUUCAGCAAGUCAGUCUUUUCAUUAUUGAUGAAUUGCACCUGAUUGGGGGUCAAGGUGGUCCAAUCCUGGAGGUGAUCGUCUCUCGGAUGAGAUAUAUCUCAAGCCAGGUUGAGAACAAGAUCCGCAUCGUUGCUUUGUCAACUUCCUUAGCUAAUGCCAAGGAUUUGGGAGAAUGGAUUGGGGCUACAUCUCAUGGGCUCUUCAACUUUCCGCCUGGUGUAAGGCCUGUGCCACUUGAAAUACACAUUCAAGGUGUUGAUAUUGCUAACUUUGAAGCUAGGAUGCAAGCCAUGACAAAACCCACAUAUACUGCAAUAGUCCAACAUGCAAGGAAGGGAAAACCUGCACUUGUGUACGUUCCCACAAGGAAGCAUGCUCGCUUGACUGCUGUAGAUCUGAUGACUUAUUCAAGCAUGGACAGCGAAGACACACCCAUAUUUCUGCUACGAUCUGCAGAAGAGCUGGAACCUUUCGUGGAAAGGAUCAAUGAACCUAUGCUGCAAGAGACACUCAAGUAUGGUGUGGGCUACUUGCAUGAGGGGUUGAGUGCCACUGAUCAGGAUAUAGUGAAGACAUUGUUUGAAACUGGAUGGAUUCAAGUGUGUGUGAUGAAUGGUACAAUGUGUUGGGGAGUACCGUUAUCUGCACAUUUGGUGGUGGUCAUGGGGACACAGUAUUAUGAUGGUAGGGAAAAUGCACACACUGAUUAUCCCGUUACUGAUUUGUUGCAGAUGAUGGGCCAUGCCAGUCGACCUCUUGUAGAUAGCUCAGGGAAGUGUGUUAUCCUCUGCCAUGCACCACGCAAGGAUUACUACAAGAAGUUCUUGUAUGAAGCAUUCCCAGUUGAAAGCCAUCUGCAACAUUAUCUCCAUGAUAAUUUGAAUGCUGAGGUGGUGGUUGGCGUUAUUCAGAACAAGCAGGAUGCUGUUGAUUACCUAACAUGGACCUUCAUGUAUAGAAGGCUGACACAGAAUCCAAAUUACUACAAUCUGCAGGGUGUUAGUCAUAGGCAUCUGUCUGACCAACUGUCGGAGCUAGUGGAGAAUACCAUCAGUGACUUGGAGGCAAGUAAAUGUGUCACUAUUGAGGAUGAAUUUUUGCUUUCACCUUUGAAUCUUGGUAUGAUAGCGUCAUAUUAUUAUAUCAGUUACACCACAAUAGAGCGUUUUAGCUCUUCUGUGACCUCCAAGACAAAGUUGAAGGGCUUGCUGGAAAUAUUGGCGUCAGCAUCGGAGUUUGAACAGCUGCCAAUACGACCAGGUGAAGAGGAAUUGAUAAGAAGGUUGAUUAAUCAUCUGCGUUUCUCUUUUGAGAAUCCAAAGUACACAGAUCCUCAUGUCAAGGCUAAUGCUCUUUUACAAGCCCAUUUCUCUAGGCAAAUGGUGGGUGGAAAUCUUGCUUCUGACCAGCAAGAGGUGCUGCUUUCUGCUACUAGGCUGCUUCAAGCAAUGGUUGAUGUUAUUUCCAGUAAUGGUUGGCUUAGUCUAGCACUUCUAACAAUGGAGGUGAGCCAGAUGGUGACACAAGGGAUGUGGGAACGUGACUCGAUGCUUCUCCAGCUUCCACACUUCACAAAGGAAUUGGCUAAGAAGUGCCAAGAAAAUCCAGGGAGGAGUAUAGAGACAGUGUUUGAUUUGGUGGAGAUGGAAGAUGAUGAGAGGCGUGAGCUCUUGCAAAUGUCAGACUUGCAGCUUCUGGAUAUUGCCCGGUUCUGUAACCGGUUUCCAAACAUUGAUUUGACGUAUGAUGUGCUGGACAGUGAUAAUGUGAGUGCUGGAGAUGAUGUAAGUGUGCAGGUAACCCUUGAGCGAGAUCUUGAAGGUAGAACAGAAGUUGGACCUGUUUUUGCACCUAGAUAUCCCAAAACCAAAGAGGAAGGAUGGUGGCUUGUUGUCGGGGAUACAAAGAGCAACCAAUUACUGGCCAUUAAGAGAGUCACCCUCCAAAGGAAAUCUAAGGUCAAGCUGGAUUUUGCUGCCCCUGCUGAAGCUGGAACAAGGAACUACACACUCUAUUUCAUGUGCGAUUCUUAUCUGGGUUGUGACCAGGAAUACAACUUUACUCUUGAUGUUAAAGAGGCAAUGGCUGAAGAUGACAGUUGAAGAGAAUGAUGUAGCUUUUUUCUUUUUUUUGACAACUUUUCCCAAGUGCUUUAUCUAUCUCUGUAGACAAUCUAGUGGUGAUUAGUUAUGUGGCUUUCAGUUGGUACUAGAUCCUUCAGUUUCACUGCUGCACCUGCUUUAUAGCUUCGGUUAUCCUUAUUUAGGAGGACUUGUUCAGUAUGAAUUGAAAAUGGAUGUACUCGGUUUUUCAAUUACUUUAAUGUUUCUGCUCGUGCCCUGAUAGAGAAUGGUUGCUGAACUUUGACGAUUGAAACUAAACAUGUCUUGUUAUGUUUUCCUUAUUUCUUGAAUGGGGGCAGUAGGUAUCUUAAUCAAUUAGAUAGGACUAAAUCAAAGUUACCCAAAUAUAGCACAAAUGAGGAAGCUGCUCUAAUAACAUUACCAUACUUAAAUUUCAGAAUCAAAUAAUCAAUUACACUAAUUGUUGUUCUGAUUCUAAUCGGAUGCAUAAUUAAUCAAGCGAGAGACACACGCCAAGAUGAAUGGAUAUUCAAAUGCAUAUCGAAAGUUAUUAGAAAUGCAAAUGCAUACCGUACUCAUUUGGUUAAAACCAAUUCGGCCAGCCAAAGAUGCUAAACAUAUAAGGAUGUAUAACUCAUAUGCAUUGCAAAACAGAUCUCUAAAUGACAUGCUGAAUCAUGCUAAUAAGACUUACUAAAGUUUUCUUUUAAAAAAAAUGAAGCUCAAACUGGAGGAUCAUGUCACAGUACUACUUCAAAACAGUGAGAAUAUCGAUCAACAAUCUAAAUAGAAGAUUACUGGUGUUGAACACAGCUCGCAUAAGAGCGAAACCAAGAGACCAUAAAUAGUAGUGCAAAUUCCCAGUCUUAGAAUCUGUUCAUAAAGAGUUGAGAAAACACAUAUGUAGCUCAAGUAUUUAAGAAAAUAUACCUGGGUCGGAUUUUAACACAGUGAAACGUCAGAGUUUUCAAUUGAAACUGAACCGAUUACAGUGUUGGGCUAUGGCCAUGUUUCAGCCAUAAGCCCAUGGCCUAAUCCUUUUUGGAAAAGGAUUGGAAUUUUUCUCCUUAUUUGGUUUUCAAUCCUAUUAGAAAAAGGAUUUGAGCUGUAAUUCUAUUUGGAGUUAGAUUUUGGCUAAAAACACAACUUCUAUUAGAAAAAGGAUUUGAGCUGUAAUUCUAUUUGGCUUUAUAAGAAAAAACACAACUCUAUAAAUAGGAUGGCUUGAGAGAAUUAUUCAAUUGCUCAUCAGUCAUCAGUAUUGUUUUGAAAGACAAGGUUUUUUGAGAGAGCUUUCAACAACAACCUUCAAAUCGCGUUUCUCGAUCUGAAGGCUGACACAGAGAUGAAUUUUUUGCGUUCACCUUUGAAUCGAGAUAGCGUCAUAUUUUAAUAUCAGUCACACCACAAUAGAGCGUUUUAGCUCUUCUGUGACCUCCAAAACAAAUUUGAAGGGGUUGCUGGAAAUAUUGGCGUCAGCAUCGGAGUUUGAACAGCUGCCAAUACGACCAGGUGAAGAGGAAUCGAUAAAAAGAUUGAUUAAUCAUCUGCCAUUCUCUUUUGAGAAUCCGAAAUACACAGAUCCUCAUGUCAAGGCUAAUGCUCUUUUACAAGCCCAUCUCUCUAGGCGAAUGGUGGUUGGAAAUCUUGCUUUUGAUCAGCGAGAGGUGCUUCUUUCUGCUUCUAGGCUGCUUCAAGCAAUGGUUGAUGUUGUUUCCAGUAAUGGUUGGCUUAGUCUAGCACGGAGGUGAGCCAGAUGGCGACACAGGGGUUGUGGCAUCGUAACUCGAUGCUUCUCCAGCUUCCACACUUGACAGAGGAAUUGGUUAAGAAAAUCGUAUAGAGACAGUGUUUGAUUUAGUGGAGAUGAAAGAUGAUGAGAAGGGUGUGCUCUUGCAAAUGUCGGACUUUCAGCUUCGGCAUAUUGCCCGGUUCUGUAACCGGUUUCCAGACAUUUAUUUGAAGUAUCAUGUGCUGGACAGUGAUAAUGUGAGUGCUGGAGACGAUGUAAGUGUGCAGGUAACCCUUAAGCGUAGAAGAACAGAAGUUGGACCUGUUAUUGCACCUAGAUAUCCUGGUACAAAAGAGCAAGGAUGGUGGCUUGUUGUCGGGGAUACAAUGAGCAACCAAUUACUGGCCAUUAAGAGAGUUAUAACCCUCCAAAGGAAAUCUAAGGUCAAGCUGGAUUUAGCUGCCCCUGCUGAAGCUGGAACAAGGAACUACACACUCUAUUUCAUGUGCGAUUCUUAUAAGGGUUGUGACCGGGAAUACAACUUUACUCUUAAUGUUAAAGAGGCAAUGGCUGAAGAUGACAGUUGAAGAGAAUGAUGUAGUAGUGAUUAGUUAUGUGGCUUUCAGUUGUACUAGUUCCUUCCUUUUUUAUUAAAGCUAGACUUCAGUUUCAAUUCUGCAACUGCUUUUCUCUUUUCUCUUCAUGUAGAACAAUGUUAUAUUUUUAUAAAAUUACUUCGAUAUGUGUGCACUCAAUUUCGUGUCCUAUGGGCUAUGGUACAAUAAUUAUUGGAUGUAUCUUCAUAAGUGAAAUUCACGAUUGAAACUAAACAUAUCGGGUUAUAUUUUCCUUUUUUUUCUUGAAUUGAGACCUAGGUAUUUUAUUAUUUUCUGUAUUUAUUUGUUUGGCUUAUUCUUUAAGAUGUAAAGUUGGACAAAUCGAAAUCUCUAUUCUAUUUUUAUCCUCAUAAAUUAGUAUCAAUAAAAGAGGUAACAUAUAGUCAACUGUUUUCAAUAUUUUUGAAAUUUUAAUUUUCAAAAAUUUAUAAAUUAAGAUGAGAAAUUGAGAAUUUUAUUACUACUAGUACUAAAUAAGGGCUUAAUGAUCAAAAAGGUUAAAAAAUAAAAUAAAAAAUCAUGUGCGUAAGCAUCACGCUUUCUUAUAACUCUUAUAUAAACCUUUCUUCCCUCUUCAGGCGUCUCACUAUCUUUUCUCUUUCUAACAAAAAAUAAAUAAAACCUCUGUUAUAAGAAACACAGCAACCGUACGGUUAACAAUGUCUAGCGCCGAGCCUAAACACGAGCACAGAGAAGAGGAAGAAGCCGCUGGAGCCGAUGACGAAGAUACCGGAGCUCACGUUGCGCCGAUUGUCAGGCUCGAGGAAGUUGCCGUAACAACUGGCGAAGAGAACGAAGAUGCUAUCCUCGAUUUGUAAUUGAUUUCUCUGAUAAUCGUGUUUAUUUUUUUCGAUCUGCUUCGAUUUCUAGGAAUGAUGAAUAACUUUAAUACUUGUGAAUUUGUCGUAACAGGAAAGCGAAGCUAUAUCGAUUUGACAAAGAGGGAAAUCAGUGGAAAGAGAGAGGUGCUGGUACUGUUAAGCUUUUAAAGCAUAAGGAAACUGGAAAAGUUCGUCUUGUUAUGCGUCAAUCUAAGACUCUUAAGAUCUGUGCCAAUCAUCUAGGUUUGUUUAUAGUUCGAUUCGUGACGUUUACUUGCAUGAUUAAAGUUUAUUUUAUUCAAUUAUGUGUUUCAUUUGAUUCGGGAUCUGAGAUUUGGACUCUGAUUCGGUGCUAUGCAGUUAUUCCGACGAUGACAGUUCAGGAACAUGCUGGAAACGAAAAGUCCUGUGUGUGGCAUGCCGCAGAUUUUGCUGAUGGUGAAUUGAAGGAUGAAUUUUUCUGUAUUAGAUUUGCAUCGUUAGAGAGUAAGAAUUUCUGAAUCUGCUGGUUCGGUUAAUUUUUACUAGAUUCUAGGGUCUUGUUUGAUAGAUGAAGCUUUCAAUUAGCUAAAAUCUGCAAUUUCCUUUUGUCGUGAUUGCCUUUGCCCCAUAAUUGCUAGUCAUUAUAAUGGCUCCUUUUGUGCCUAUGGUUAUAACAUUAGAUUUUUGUUUGGAGAACAUUUCAUUCUCUACUGAAUGCUGUAAUGGGUGCACGUAUUGUAGUUGUAGAUUUCUGAAGUAUUCAGAUCAAUUGAGUAUAGAAGCUCACCAGUUAAUUACUGUACUUUAGGUAUGAUUUGUAGUUUCUCAUUUUCUUCUUGUUAGUCACCAACUCAAGCUUGUCUCUAUGAUUGGAAAACCUACACUAACAUACACUUCUGUUGUGUGCAUAUGAUUUAUUUCGUUUUGAUUGUUCAUAAACUAUCAGUCUAGUUGAAACUACCAGUUACUCCACUCUGGAAGAUUGAAUGUAGUGACAAUCAUAAGAUUAGAUCUUCAGGUCUGAGGUGUAAAAUUCUGCAAUUCAUCUACUUGAGCGUAAUUGGGAUGCAAAGGUGUUCCAGUAGUUUUGGCGUAUGAGGCUAUGAUUGUUGUUUGGAUUGGGUGAUGGAUCAAGGCAAGAUUAUAGUACCACCAAAUUAUGUUUUGGGUAGUUUGUUGGUGUAAUUUAGAUAACCAAAUGUCUCGAUAGAUUCUGAGUUGGGGUGUGUAGGGGAGGAGGUAGAAGUGUACUUAGAUGGACAGGGAAAUAGAAUUUUGCAAGCUCUGCUCCUCUUCAAGCCUAUAUAAGUUGUCUAUAUUAGAACCAAUGGCUUGAUGUUUCAGAUGUUGAAGUUUAAUAGAGGUUAUUUCAUAUCCGAGGUACCUAUUCAGCUAUUCUCAACAUGAGAUGUUAGUUAUGGAUUUAAUGGUGUGUAUUCCUUGAAUAUAUAUAAGCUAAUAGCAAGAAAGAGUGAUCAAGGAAGUUAAGAUACCCUACGUAGUACAUCCUUGCCUUUUGAAAAUUGAAACAGUGGUUGAAGCAUGAAUAGAACUUGGAAGAGUAAAAUCCCUAUUAAGGUUGAUUGCAGAAACUAGGGAAUUGAUGAGUCCCUAAAUUCUUUUCCAAUUCUAGACUUAAGUGCAGGCUCAAGAUUAUAGAUGUACAAAUUUUACUGCUCAACAUUGUGCGCUAUGAAUAAAGAUCAUCUCACCUGUGACUCUGGUUGUCAACAGUCUGAUCUCUUCCAUGCCUUAGGCCCUCCUAUAUAGUAGAUCCACGACUUUGCUGAUGUGGGAAAAGCAAACCAAACCUUAAACUGAUAGGUGACUUCUCUCUGCAAGGGAAUAACAUGUAUAUUAUUUUUGUUUAGUGGCAACAUACAUAUUAUCUUAUACCUUUCAAUUAUUUGGUUGUGUUUUUAUUCUCAUUAUAUUAAAUUGGUAAUACUAUCAUACGAGUAGUACCAAUAUUAUACCUUACUAAGAUUUAGGCCAGGUUGGGAUUAGCUGAGAGGGGAGUGAUGGGACAACUGUAUGUAAGGUAGACCCCAUGUUUCUGCCUUCUGCUAUAGUUCCGAAAUCCCCAAAUUCCAGAAAUAAUGUCAUUGCAGGCCUCACAGGUUUUGAAUCUAAAACAUUAGACUGCAAAUCAGAUGCACCGUUAGAAGGCAAAACCACAACCUCAGUCUACAGAAACCUAUUAAAAAUGCCCCCAUUUAUGAUUCUCCAAACUGGAACUGCCAAUGACCUAAGUGAUUGAUCUUUUAUUAUUAAGUUGUUGAGAACCUUUAGGUCAUAUCCUCUUGAUUGAGGUCCGUGUAGUGUUGAGAGUGAACUGAUCUUGGACUUCUCUCCAGAAUCCUAGGUACUGGUAAAAGGAAUCAUGGUUAAUACUGCUUGCUUGGUUACCUACUUGAGAGUGAUUGCUCUUUAGGGACUUGAGGACUGGUGCUUUAUAAAUUAUCAACUAGGACUCUUGGAUUACAAGGCGUGGAAUGAAACCUAGCCGGGUAUGGAAGGUGAUGUUUCAAUUACCAGGUCCUUUAGGACUCCUAAACUGGAUCUUCAUUGCAGUUUUUACUCAACAUAUUGGAGUUAAUUACAGUUUCAAGGGAUUAGAAAAUUUCCCAUGAUUGGAGAUAAGUCAAACACUGGAUGAGACUUGAGAGGGGCCCUGGAAGUGAUUCUGAGGAUGUUGUAGAUUAGUAGUAUGUAUGAUUAUGUCCCUGAUUCUUUUAUGUUGCUGCCUGUUUUUUAAUUUUUUUUCUCCUCAGCAAAAAUGAUGUCUUAGUGUAAUGUUUUUAUUCUUAGAUUGCAAGACCUUCAUGGAGACUUUCCAAGAGGUUGCUGAAUCACAAACGAAGAAAGAGGAAAAUGUGGAUGCAUCUAAUGCUGCUGGCCUACUUGAGAAGUUGAGUGUCGAAGAUAAGAAACCAGAGGAGAAGAGCGAGGAAAAAACUGAAGAAAAAGUUAAGGAAGAUGACGUCAAAGAAGAGAAGCCUUCUGAUAAUGCAGAGAAAAAGGAAGAGGCUGCUUCAGCCUGAGAGAUGUAUGUCAUGUACGCCAAAUGUAGUUGGUGAGGUUUGUAGCACCUCCAUUUUUGCCAACCAAAUUUGGGUAUAGUCUGGUCAAGUGCAAGGGGUGUUUACUUCUGGGUGUUGCUUUGGGGCGGGGUCGUCUGGGGUGGGGGGAGGUUGUUAUUUGUUUGUCCAUCUCUGAGGUGUUUCAACAUCUUGGGGAAACUCACGUCAAGGUCGGGUCUUGUUCUUUGAUUGAGGUAUUGUGUUGGUCUAUUGUACGUCUUGGUAUUAUAUACCCAACUGUACGUUGCUUAUGUAAGUCCUCUUUUUGAGGCUGUUCUUUCUCUUGGUUCCAUAUAAUUCAAUUCAUUACUUAUUUGGGGAAGUUGAAUCCACUGGUAGGUUUGCUGAUGUUUUUGUUUCUAUGAAUGCGACUUCUUAUUUUUUAAAUUUUAAAAAAUGGCAUGGUAAGAGAAACAGGCUCUGUUUUGGUCUCAUCAGUUGAGUAUCGCGAAGGAAAUCACUCGGUUUGUAUGAUAUAUAGACACGAGAUGCUGCUCACAGUACUGCACUGUGAUCAGACUGCUGUCUGUUUUGGGUCUCUUGGAACUUUGAUUUAAAGAGUUCUCUGGAUAUUUGGUUUACUUUCAAUGUACAUGUAAGAGUGGAGUUGUCUCAAACUGUGUAGUAGGUUCACUUGGUCACAAACUACUGAGCUCGUAUGUGGAAUCCUCAAUGAAACAGCUCGUGAGCGGAUAAUGAAGCUUCCUCUUUUGAUUUACGUAAAAAGAAAACAAGAUAUGUAGUAAUUACUGAAUACAUAUUUACCUUUCUGUGUAGCCAUUCUUUGAUUACAGGCAAUGUUAAUGAGCUGCAUAUAGUUAUUGGUUUUAUACAAUUUAUUUUCUUUAUGACUUGUUACGCCUUUUAAGAAUAUCAGUAGUUAAACUGUUCAUGGUUCGUCAAGAAAGCUACAUUAACAUUUUAAAUAUAACUCCUAGGCUUGAGUUCUACGUACAAGACAGAUCGAUGAAGGAUAUUUACUGUUUAUGACCUAACUAUAAAAUUCUAAUAUGAUUAUAUAUUUGAAGUUGAACCUCUUCCUCUUACGUUAUUUACCCACUAAAAAUGUUAGACCAAAAUGAUACUUAAAAAUAAAAUUGUACAACAAUUAUAUAGUAACCCCGAUCAUUAAGCCAAGACAUUCGUUCUGUAUUGGGUACCUCGAAAUAUUUGAAGCAAAAAAAACUGACCACCUCUCCAAGAAACCACUAUCUUUCACUCAAUUUUCCCUAUCUUUUCGAAUCUUAACAAAUUGACUUCUUUUAUUUUUACAUACAUGUAUAUAUUUUUUCCUUAUGUCUUUCAUUUUCCCUGUAUCAAUUUCCUCAAAAACAAAAUAUGGACAAUGCAAAUGGCACCACUUCCUGUAUCCAAAACUCACAUUCUUCUUCCGUUAUUGCGAGCCCUGACGCAACCUUAGGGCGCCAUUUAGCCCGAAGGUUACUUGAAAUUGGCGUUGAGGAUGUUUUCUCAGUGCCUGGUGAUUUCAACCUCACACUUCUUGAUCACCUAAUUGCUGAGCCAAGGCUUAAGAAUGUUGGUUGUUGCAAUGAGCUUAAUGCUGGAUAUGCUGCUGACGGGUAUGCGAGAUCUCGAGGCGUUGGUGCGUGUGUUGUCACGUUCACUGUGGGUGGGCUUAGUGUGAUUAAUGCUAUUGCUGGUGCUUAUAGUGAGAAUCUUCCUAUUAUCUGCAUUGUUGGAGGUCCUAAUACUAAUGACUAUGGAACUAAUAGAAUACUGCACCAUACUAUUGGAUUGCCUGAUUUCAGCCAAGAACUUAGGUGUUUUCAGACUGUUACAUGUUAUCAAGUAAGUUAAGUUCUAGUUUUGGAUUCAGAAUUUGAAGUUUACAGGUUACUAUGUACUAUGUUAAGAUUGACAAGUAAAAGUGAAAAUUUAUUUUUGGAAUACUAGACAAGUAAAAGUGAACGGAGAGAGAGAGUACUACUUUUUAUGUAGUUCUUUAGAUAAACAAACUUUAUUUCUAAGAACUUGAGGAUUCUAUGUCCAAAUUUACACUGAAAAGUAAGUACUUUGACCCUUAUACACCGAACCAUGUCAAACACGAAAUAGAAGAUGGUGCUUAUAUCCAAAGAAAAAUUCUACUCCUAUUUCUUUCCCCCAUUAAUACAAUGCAAAAAGUUCCCUACAUAUCCAACUAAUUGUAUGUUUCUAUGUUUGGUUGUGUUAGGCUGUGAUAAAUAACUUGGAGGAUGCACUUGAACAAAUUGAUAGAGCAAUUUCUACUGCUCUAAUAGAAAGAAAGCCAGUAUAUAUUAGUAUCAGUUGCAAUUUGCCAGCCACCCCUCAUCCAACAUUCAGCAGGGAUCCCAUUCCAUUUUUUCUAUCACCUAGGUAUGUGCUACAUUAUCAAUUAUUCUUACAUUUAUAAAGAACUUGCAUGACAGUGGCGGAUAUAAACUAGACGCAGCGAGUUCACAUAUCCAUCGUGUCUAGCUCAGAGUAUAUAUGUGUGAAAAAAUGGCACAUAUCUAAAGAGCAGAACUCAUUGACUCAUAAUUCUGGAUCCGUCAUUGUUGCAUGAGAGCUAUUUUUUAACUUACCUUUAGAACUUACAAUGGCUGAUCAAGACUUGACACAUGAGUUUGACUAUAUAUGUGUAUGUGAAAAGAGACUGGCACAUAUAUAAAGACGGUAAUUUUCCCGUCGAAGGAGGUUCGGAUGAACCCCUCAACCCUACCUACUUGGCCUACCUGGCUCCCCCCCUGAUGGCGGAUCAAGACCAGAUGCAGUGGGUUCGCCUAAAUAUGCGUGUGUGAAAAGAAAUUAGCACAUAUAUAAAGAGAAGAACUUACUGACCUUAAAUCUAAUCUUGGAUUCGCCACUGUUGUAUGUGAAAUGUUCUUUCAACUUACAAUUAGAACUUAUUGAUACAGGCUAAGUAGCAAGAAGGGGUUGGAAGCUGCAGUGGAUGCAGCAGUGGCCUUUCUAAGCAAGGCAGUAAAACCAGUCAUGAUUGGAGGGCCAAAGCUAAGAGUAGCUAAAGCUUGUGAUGCUUUUGCUGAACUUGCUGAUUCUUCUGGUUAUGCCAUGGCAAUGAUGCCAUCAGCAAAAGGGCUAGUAGCAGAACAACACCCUCACUUCAUUGGCACUUACUGGGGUGCGGUAGGCACAUCCUAUUGCGCGGAAAUCGUUGAAUCAGCUGAUGCUUACUUGUUUGCUGGUCCGGUUUUUAAUGAUUACAGCUCUGUUGGGUACUCACUUUUGAUCAAGAGAGAAAAGGCGUUAAUCGUGCAGCCUGAUAGAGUUGUAAUUGGAAAUGGACCAGCAUUUGGUUGUGUCCUAAUGAAAGAUUUCCUAUCUGAACUAGCAAAGAAAGUAAAGAAAAACGAAACUGCUUAUGAUAACUAUCGUCGGAUCUUUGUUCCUGAAGGAACUCCUCCAAAGCCGGAGCCUAACGAACCUCUAAGAGUCAAUGUUCUGUUCCAACAUGUACAGAAGAUGCUUUCAGCUGAUACAGCUGUGAUUGCUGAGACAGGGGAUUCUUGGUUCAAUUGCCAGAAGCUUAAGUUACCAGAAGGAUGUGGGUAUGUGACUAAUAAAAGCUUAACAGCCUGGUAUCCAUUUUAUUUUGAGUCAUUAGACGUAAAAAGUUCGUGUUGCAGGUAUCAAUUCCAGAUGCAAUAUGGCUCCAUUGGUUGGUCUGUUGGUGCUACUUUGGGCUACGCACAAUCUGUACCCAAAAAACGUGUCAUAUCUUUCAUCGGUGAUGGAAGUUUUCAGGUAAGAAAAUGACUUCCGUCAUACCAGACACAAUUAUUUGUUUGGAGAACUAAAUUUUGGAUACCAGGUUACUGCACAAGACGUGUCAACAAUGAUUCGUUGUGACCAAAAACCUAUCAUUUUCUUGAUUAAUAAUGGUGGUUACACCAUUGAGGUUGAAAUCCACGAUGGGCCUUAUAAUGUGAUCAAGAACUGGAACUACACUGGUUUGGUGGAUGCACUUCACAAUGGUGAAGGCAAUUGCUGGACCCAAAAGGUAAGUGUUACUUACUCUACAUAGAAAUGUUCAUCCAUACUUCCAACAAAAAAACGUUGUUUUCAAAUUGUUUUAUAACUGGAUUGUAGGUAAGGACGGAAGAGGAGCUGACAGAAGCAAUCGCAACUGCAACUGGAGAGAAGAAAGAUUGCUUAUGUUUCAUUGAAGUUAUUGUUCACAGGGAUGAUACUAGCAAAGAAUUACUUGAAUGGGGAUCUAGAGUCUGUUCUGCCAAUGGACGUCCACCAAACCCUCAAUGAGUCUGCUAGAUUAGUUUUUAUUUCCAGCACUUCUUUCUACUUUUUCGAUAACACCCGAGCCGUAUUAGAAUUCUUUGUUUAAACUCUCAGUAAUCAGAAUUAAUUACCAUUUAAUAAAAUGGAUUUUUGGACUAUUACCUGUCUCCAUCUAUUACAGUUUCACCCAGCUGAUUUAACAAUUCCCCUUCAAUAUCAGACGGUUUUGGAAAUUGAAGGUUCAAUGUUAGGAGUCAGCUUCUAUGAAUUCCCACUGACUAAACGAUUCACUAGUUAAUGAAGGCAAAAAUUUAGCAUUUCAAACUGUUAAACCUCUCUGAUAUGUAUAUAGCUAGAUAACUAGCAGACUACCGUAUGAGAAAAGACUCAUUGCUCAAAAAAUGAACUGGGAUAAGAAAGUAUGACCAAAAACAAUGCAUUACUUUUCAAGUUUAACAAUCUGUCUUGUGUUCAACUUCACUGAAAGCUAAAAGCUAAACACAAGUGAAUAUCUAUUUCAGUAUGCAGCAAAACACUGUUAAUCCUUCAAAUACAGAAGACAAAACAGUCGUAGUUCACUCUGUUUGGGACAUUGUCGCAUCUUCACAAUAUUAGCAGGCCAAUAAGCCAUUUGGUAAAAGAAAAAACGGAUCGAGAUGAAUCAGUAAUUAAGGAGUAAAUAUCAUAAACUUGAGCCAAAAAUGGCUCCCAGAGUUUCAAUACACCUCAGAAACAGAAAUACAUUAGGUUUAGGUGCCAUUAGCACAAUGUAACUACUGAAAUUUAACUGCAAACACAGAAAAUAAGACAAAAACGCAAUAACCUAGAGGGACGGAGAUAUGUCAAAAGCUAAGAACUGCAAAGUACAAUUCUACUUAGAUCUCUGCCUCAUCUUUCGGCGCUUCCUCUUCAAUCUCCUCAUACGCUUCUUCUUCCACUGAAAUGAAAAAAAAUGCGCAGUGAGCACCAUCACAUAUUAAUCGCAAUAAAAAAAGUAGCACAUGUAAAGCUUCAACAAUGGAGCAUGAUUCACAAAUCGGUAGUGAUAGGAGUAUUAUUCUGUAUCAAUCGACUUAAAAUUCUAGAUCCGUCUGCAUAAAACUACAAUCUAAAAAAGGAAAAAACGAGACGAAGACGUCUACGUACCUUGGCUCUCAUGGUGAAUCAGCUACGACGGAAGGGAGUCUAUUUACUGCCUGGCCGGAGUGAACUUACCGAUGAAGAAGAGAAGCUGCACGAUGAGAACGGAAGUGAGGACUGGUGGAAUAUAAAAGGAAACCCUAAGAGUGGAUAUGACUAAUGGGCUUUGGGGCAAAUCAUCCGAGAAAUGGGCCCAGUCUCUGUAGGAUUUGCACCAAGUAACCAAAAUAUAUGCCUUAUGUUUAAUUUUUCAAGUAUUUAUUUUUUAGACAUCCAAUUUAUGUUUGUAUUCCUACAUGAAUUCAUUAAUUUUCUUAAAAUAAAAAACAUAUAGGAGUAGUUAAAAUUACAUUUUAUGAAAAUACUAUAAAUGUUCAUAAUAUAUAUUUUAAUACAUUUGUAUUUGAUCAAAUGCAAGUUUAUUUGAUCUCAUACAUGAUAACAAAGAAAAAAGAUUGUUCGAUCAUUAAAUUAUGGAGUAAUUCUUUUAUAUAAAAAUACGAAUCAGAGUAAUGGAAAAAGUAUCAAAAUGUGCUGCAUGGAUUGUCAAGAAUGAAAUGAUAUAAGUUAGUAGUUAAUUAAAUUUACUACCUAUAGCUAAAACCGACAUCUCCAAGAAAGAGAAACAUCACAUAAAUUAAAAAACCUACUUUCUACUAGUCUCCAACCUAAUUUUCAUGCCUUAUUGAAAUAUAUAUUAUUGUUUGUUCAAUUUUUUAUAGUAUAUAAUAUUAACAAAUUAAUACACAAAAAUCUUCAUCCCGUCAAUCACGUUUUAACAAACAAAUAAAGAGUAAUAUUUUCAUAAAAACAUAUAAUAGAUGAAAAUAUUCAUAAAUUUUCUUUGAUUUGAAUUGCAUCAAAACUGGAGUUGCAAAUUAUCAAUCUGCAACUCCAAUUGAUUCAUGAUAAAUAUAUAUGAUUAAUCGUCACUCAAAGGUAUAAUCCAAAUCCUAUAUAGAAUUCAACUUUCAUUUUCCAUUAUUAUAGUCUUAACCUAAAAAUUAAAUAUUUUUCCCCCAAAUUUUAUUCUUAUCAAAACAGGAAAAAUUUAACCAACCAUUUCAAUUUUUGUUCUUUUUCUCAGUUUUCCACAUCUUGCAAUCUCCGUCUCUCUUUAAACCUAUCGUCCUAUCCACAACUGACGACUACUUUAAUUACAUAAUUUUUAUUAUUAUUAUAUUCAGUUAGCAUAAGCCUACAGGAAUACUUUUUUCUUUUUUUUGUUUGGAGAGAAAUUGUAGCUUCAAGCAAAAAUGGGUACUGGUUCAUCGAAGAACACAGACAGUAGCUCGCAUGGCAGCGAAGAUAGAGAAGAUCAUGGAGGAGGACAGCUUUACGUUUCUCUCAAAAUGGAGAAUUAUAAGCUUAAAGGAGAACUCAUUCCUCAUGUUUAUGGUUCCGUUCCAUUAAUUGGCUCAUGGGAUUCAUCUAAAGCUGUAAUUUCAUCACUCUCACCUUUUUCAGUUUUUCCUUUUGAUUUUUGUGAUUAAUAACUAAUGCAGUUUUGUUUUUCAUUAUCAGCUUCCGAUGGAACGGGAAUCAACUUCUAUGUGGGAACUGAGUUUCGUUGUUCCUCCUAAUCACGGUUAGUUUACUAUUGUGAUUUUGUUAAAUUUGUGGUUAAUUCAUGGAAUGAAAAUCUAUGGUAAUUUCAUUUGCGGAUUUGCGGAAUGGAGUUAUAGGAGGAUUAGUAUAGUUGACCCGAACUAAAUAGGGAUUGGGAAGUAGUUGAUUGAUUGAUUUUUAUUUGUAUAGAGACAUUGGACUUUAAGUUCCUUUUGAAGCCAAAGUACAAUCAUGAGCCUUGUAUAGUGGAGGAAGGCCCAAACCGUGUACUUAUUGCUGGAACGUUGCAAGGGGAUGGGCGUUCAGCCUCGUUUAAGCUGGAAAAUGAAGAGAUUAUUGAAUAUAGAGUGUUUGUUAAAGCAGACAGAGUUUCACCAUUUGACCUUGCGGCUAGUUGGAGAGCCUUUCAGGAAAAUCGCAGGCUUUCUACUGUUCGAGGAGUACCAGAUGUUAGCAUAAAUUCGACACCAGCAAUGGGUGCAGAGGUAAGAUGUUGCUAUUGUUUGACUGCUAGUUGUAAAUGCUGCUUUGUAACCAUGGUGCUAGAUGCCUGUGAUUACUGUCUUACUAUCGUGUUAGAUGAUCUCUCCAUGUGAAUGAGUGUUUGUUUAACAUGCUGGAGCUCAGAAGCCUUGUGCUCACAUUUGGUGCAAAUGUAGAAACUAUACUAUUACAGGUUAUUGCAUCAACAGAUAUUGUACAUUUAAAUUUAAAGGGAGAUAAUUUGCUCUUCUUUAGGAGUAAAAUGAGGUUGCAGAUUUUGAUAUUGAAGAUGUUUUAAUUUGAAUAAAGAUGUUUAGCCUAUGCCUUUUGUUACUAUAUGUGUAAUUUUGAGGAAACUAUUGACUUUCAUGUUUCUUAUCAGUGCUCCUAGUUUUUCUGCUUCCGUCUAUUGGUCAAAUUAUUCUUGUGUUUAGCUUCUUCAGAUGUCUGUGGAUGAAUAUUGCUUACCAGGGUUGUUUCUAUAGAUUUUGGCAGUUGGUUAUGUUUUUCAUAUAUGCCUUAAUUAUAUUAAUUAUAUUUUAAAUAUUUUUUCUCGACAGCAUGGCUCUUCGGCUAGUCUAGAGCUUGAUCUUGAACAUUAUGUUGUCCCUGCUCCAGCAACAUCUGCACCGGUUUAUGCUGCUAACUUGACAGAAACUCCUAGGUCUCUAACACGUAAAGGGGUAUUUUCUGGGACAGAUGGCACUAUCAUUCCAAGGCCUUCCUCAAAAGAUGGUCACACUUCAAAUGAUCGGUCUGCUACAAUAAAGGUUCUUGUGGUGCCUUUUGACUUGAGGUCUAGUUUGACUAUAGGACUUGAGAUUUUGUCUAUCUUUAUCCCAUUCUUAUCAAAACAAAACAAACCCCCAAAGUGCGCUUGAGAUUCAGAGUUAUACUAAUUCUCUGACUAUUUUUUUUGGGAUAAGUGUUUCACUGUAAUGCAUUCCCAUAAUUUAAGAGAAAUAGGCAUUAGCAUUUUUGUAAUACAUGAUAAUGAUCAUCAUUUUACUCAGUAAAAUGAAAAAGCUAUUCAACCCUGGUACUUAUAUUAUAUACUAAUCUUUUUCAUCCUCCAGCUAAAAAUCUUGUAUAGUAAGCAUCUUUGACACUCAUAUAACCAAUCAUAGAGGCUAUUUAAAUUUUUAUCCCAUAUUAUGCACAGAAGGUUUUACAUUCGCUGGAAACAUGCAUGUUAUGUGACUAGUGUUCUCCCUACUUAAUUUACCAACCUUAUGCUUUUAUUCAUUCUACAUGUAUUACCAUUUUCUUUCAAAUUGUACCUCAUUGGUUAAGAGCCACAGUUGAUUCACAUUAUGCCGUCUUUUUAUCAUCCAGCAGAUGGAAGUAAUUGUCCCGGAUCCAACUAGAGUCCCCUCAGGGUCUGGUACGGUUGAAUCCAAGUCCAUGGGUGCGUUCUCGUCUUUGCAAAAGCAAGAUAGUUACAGGGGAAUCCUUGUAGAUAGGGGUGUGGGAUCUCCAAGACUAGUAAAAUCACCCAGUACAACCAGUUUUACUCUUGAUCUCAAGCCUGAUUCAGAUGCCAAGGUGUGUAGAAAUCUAAUGUUUCUGUUGUGAUGAAUAUUGUAAUAAAAUAUCUGUUGUAUCUUGGUUUAUGCAUCUGAUGUAUCAUUCUUUUAAAUUGUUUAGAAUGUGAUGCCAGCUGCUGCAGGAGCAGUUGCAGCUGGAGCUGUAGCUGAUCAGAUGCUUGGGCCAAAGGAAGACAUGCAUCUAGCAAUCGUUCUGGUAUUUUUUCUUUUAUGAUGAAGAACUGAUAAGCAUGUUAGUUUUGGUGUAAGCUUGUCAACUUUGAUGCUGAUGUUGUGCUCUCGGAUUGGAUUUCCUAUGUUCUUGGAAUAGUAUCUUAUGCAAUGAAUGAUCUUAGGAUUUGCUUAUGCUUCUUGCAGGUUGGCUUGCCAGCUCGUGGCAAAACUUUUACUGCCGCUAAGCUUACUAGGUAUCUUCGAUGGUUAGGUCAUGACACCAAGCACUUCAAUGUUGGGAAGGUAAAUUGUAGCACUUGUUUCUUCAAUGUCUUCCUAAAUUUGCAAACGUAAGGAAACUAACCAAUCUUUUUUCUGUGACAGUACCGCCGACUCAAGCACGGAAGUAAUCAGGUAGUUUAAAUUCCUGAAUUGAACUAUUUUUCUAAAUAUCUGCAGUCAAAUAGAACUGCCAUCUCACGUAUAAAAAAACAGAAAAAAAGAACUGUUAUCUUUCUUGUAUAGAAAACUAUGUUAAACUGAGAAUUCACUUGCCAAGACAUCAUUUAAGGUUCAUUAUCUGGUGGCCUUUUGGUUUAGGUGGUAUGAUUUUAUUUUGUAGAUGACAUCUAAAACAUUUGACACUUUGGGUUGUCCAUUUCAGCAAAGUACUACUACCACUUCUUUCAUACUGGUAUUACAAUAAGUAAUUGUAUCAAAGAUCUAAAAGCGGCUUCAAUCCUUUGUGUUCUGAAGAGACAAAGUUAAUAGUCCGUGGACAUCUUUUAUAUAGAAAGCAUACACCAUGAAAUGGAGAAAAUGAUAAAAAUUACAAAAAUGGUCCUUUAUCUUUGGUAGUAGGUUCAAAGUAGUUCCUUAAGUAUCAACUGUAACAUAAAAAAUUACACUACUUAUUGGAGCUUCUCCUCCUAGGAGCUGUAAGUUCGUAUUAAUUGAAAUACAAUCUGUGGAACUUCAUUUUCUUGUGUAUCUUGUUGACGCAGACUGCUGAUUUCUUCCGAGGUGACAAUCCAGAAGGCUUGGAGGCUCGCAAUGAGGUAAACUCUGUCAGAAUAGGUAUUGUGUAUUGUCUGUUUGCUAGAAGCCUGAAAUCAUCUUAAUUAGAUUGAACAUGAGGCAAGGUUCGGGCGGGUAUACUGAAUGCUAUGCCUGUAACGACUCACCAUAGUGCUCCUUCCCUCGCCCUUCCCCCUUAUAUGUCUUGCCCUUCCCCCUCCCUGCCCCAUUUUGGCCUCCAUCCUCCAUACAUAGGAUUUUGACACCGCCUGUUGUUAUAACUCAGCUAGUACACAUGUUUGGAUUGGAGGCUGUGGGGUUCAGCAAGGCUUUACUUCCAUCCCAAACUGAUAAUUACUUCACAUUAUUUUCUAAACAGUGUCAUUCUAUCAUGAGUUUGUGUGUAUAGUUGUAAUUAUUAUGUACAUACAUUAGUUAGCAGUGUCGGAUGACCUCACUUGAAGCAAUGGGGAAUUUUAGAGGAAAGAGGCAAGACCAGGAAGGUCAGAGGGUGAUCAUUAAGAAGGGCAGUACAUUCCGCUGUUGAAAUGGAGAUGUAGGCUCCACGUAAUGUAGUCAGAGGAGGUCUUUGUCUUCCCUUUCCUUGUCUAUUUGUCAACAUAUAUUGAAACGGGGGUUAAGUAUCAGUUUGAGAUUGGGAAAGAGAGGGAUGGGUGAAGAUUGAGAGGUUCAGUCAUAACCUGUAGCAAUAACGACUUUUUCCCCUUUGUGUUUUGUCUUCUGUACGGAAAUUACGCUUCUCCUAUUUUCUCUCUAUUAUUAGUUCUAUUUCCCGAAAAGAACCAUUAUGUGUGUCAGGGUUUGUUUUGGAGAGGUAAGGGUGUGAAACCUAAGUUCUGGUGGCUCACUUGAAUCAAAACCCCAGAAGAAUUACCAUUACUUGCAUAAAAAUUAUGGAACACCUAUCCCUGACCCCCACAAUGCAAGGAAAAAAAAUCCCAUCGCUGGCCUGUUCCACAUUUAGAUCUAUAUUCUCUAUUCGAUUAUGGGCAGUUCCUUCAUUGCUCUGCCUUAACAUCCCUAAUCUUAGUAGCCCCUCCUGGCCUCCCAGAGAAAAGAACAUAUGGAUAGGGCUUCUGUCAUAUCACAUGCAUGGGAAUUUUGCAAUUUGUAUCAAUAUUCUCCAUUGCCAAUUCAGCACCCAUUAAUUGGACAUUUGACCAUUCACUUUUAGAAAAAUUGAUUAAUAUUAUAUCUAGUUUGUAAGAGUGUUGUAGAAAAGAACAUGUUGCUUUCUCAUCUUGCUGUAGAAGUUACUUUCUAGGAUUUUGGGGUUUAGAUAUGGAUGGCCAUAGGCCCAUUUAUUGACAGUAUGACUGGUAAUUUUUAAAGAAAUUUCUAUUGUUGUUAUUCUUGUAGCCAUGGUAGGAGUUUAUUAUUGCAUUAUCCCUAGGGCUAAUGGGUAUAAAACUUUGAGUUGUAGUGCAUCAUCAAUAUCUCUUGUAGUUACAUUGGACUUAAUUUAUUCGUUGAAUUGACUUUCUUCUUUUCACAUAGUUUUAAUACAUCACAUGCUACUAGGUAGCUGCCCUUGCAAUGGAAGACAUGAUCGCUUGGAUGCAAGAGGGUGGUCAGGUAAGUCUUCUGUAAUUUUUAUGGAACAAUACCUGUUUCUGAGUUUUCGAUAACUAUAACCAUUACUGAAUGCAGGUAGGAAUUUUCGAUGCCACAAAUAGCUCAAGGAAAAGAAGGAAUAUGCUUAUGCAGAUGGCUGAGGGAAAAUGCAAGGUGAAUUCUUAUUGAUGGACAUCUAGUGUUAGUAUGUUACUGCUCUUAGUUUACUUCAAUGGAAUUGUAAGAUUUUUUUCCCAAGGCUUUGGUCUAGUGGUAAGAGCGAGCGCUGUAUAGGUUACACACACGUCAUAGAUAAAAACCUGAUAUUUAAGCGGAGAAGGAUUGAAGGGCAGACACACAACCUGUUGAAUUUUGAACCACGACCCUCGAAGAUUUCUCGGUUAUCACAAAAUAAAAGAACUGUAAGAUGUGUUUAAUUCUCAUCUAUGUAAGUGCAAUUGCAGGAUUUGAGUAAGUUCUUUAACAAUAGUUAAUAUUUACAAAUAGCGGUUUCAUCUAAUACUAUACCUUAUAUUGUUUCCAUGAGUUGGGUGCGGGAGUCGAGAUAACAUCGAAGUCCUUAUAGCGAUUAAGUCAACGUGCCCUUAUUACUUUUUUUGGAGUGGCGGUUGCAUGACACUGCGUUUGUUAGUUGAAACAAAGUCACUCCAACUUGUGUUUCUAGUUUCUUAGCACUUCAAAAAUUGCAGCAUCACCCACUUAUGUAUCUCAGUGCUUUAAUGUGUCUAAGUAGUUUCUUUUAACAGAUUAGUCCUUUCUUUCUUUUUUAAUUCAUUCUUUAUGUUUAUGUACUACUGGUUGUAGACAAGCCAAAAGAGAAGUGUACAUUUUAUGAUGAUACUUGUUGGUGGAUUUUGUGGAUCCAUAUGCAGAAGCCUAAGUUGUUUAUCUGCUCUUAGUUCUCAUUCUUGAAUUCUGUGAUGCUUUGCAUGCAGAUAAUUUUCUUGGAAACCCUCUGUAAUGAUCCUAAACUAAUUGAAAGAAACAUACGCCUCAAAGUUCAACAAAGUCCAGACUAUGCUGAAGAGUAUGAUGAUUUGCUGUAUCUUUUGGUGUUUCUCAUAUUAGUUAGAAAAGAACUUACAUAGUUGGCAUUGUUAAUUUGUUAUACAGGCCAGAUUUUGAAGCUGGAUACAGGGACUUCAAGAAUCGCCUUGAUAAUUAUGAAAAAGUAAUAUUAUUUAUCAUAGUUAUUAUGGUUGUUUUUGUCAUAUUUAUUUAUGAAUGCUUAACAUCAUAUUAUGUAAUGUUUGUCAUUUUCUUUUCUCCAAGGUUUAUGAGCCAGUAGAGGAAGGUUCUUAUAUUAAAAUGAUUGAUAUGGUCAGUGGUCAUGGAGGACAAAUACAAGUAAGUGACCUUGUUUUGAUUUGUUUCAUGUGUUGUUUAUUUGAGGACACUUCAAAAGGUCGAUGUAAGCAUUGGUAGCAACUAGCAAAUAUUGCAUUUUAUGUCCAAGGAAUUAGUUCCAAGGUGGACUUUAUUUAAACUUCUUGAUUUCUUCAUGAUGAUUUUGUGUUAUUCCACCGACAGUGAGCUACCUAUGAGGCUUGGCUCAAGUGGUAGGGUGUGCCUCUGAAGGUUUUUUAGGUCUUUGGUUUCAUACUUUUAACUAGGGUUACUUCUUUCCCCUCAUCGGGCUAACUUAGUGCUUAGCGGUUUGACUUUCAAUAGCCUUGUACCUCUAACUCUUCCUAUAAGUUGGUUUGUAACCUCAAAAUACCCUAUUAGCUCAGUCUUUUGAAGGAAUAUGAAGUUAUAUUUCUUCUGACUUCUUUAAGAUUUCAUCGCAUUUAACUUCAGUGAGAGCUAUAUAUCUUUUGGCGGUCUGGAGAUGGGUAAACAGUUUGAUAGUGAAGGACUCUGUAUAAAAUUGGUUUAUAUGCUUUUUACAGGCUGACAUAAACUUUUCAGUACCAAUUUCAUUUUCAUAUGGGUCGAAUUUUAGGAGUUGGAGAAAAGAUGUAAUCUAUGGUGCAGACGAUGUUUAGAUUGGCUUCAGUAAGAAUUCGAAAGCUAUUGACAGUGGAUUGUUCAGUUAAUUAAAGAGGAAAGAGAGGUGGGAGCAAUCAGAACAGGCUACAGGACCUUCUCUUUCUUUCUUAAUAUGCCUAUGCAGCAGUGUUCAAAUUUGUCAAUCUUUUAGGCUGGCCUUGUUUGAGUUACUAGUUGGUAGCAUCUCCAGUUAAGUAUGAAGUGAGGCUUGUAUAAGUUUAUUAAUGACUGAUUCGCAAAAUUGAUGGAAGUUUGUGCCACUGUCAAGAUUCUUCUAGUGUUAUCCUAAUUACUCGUGUAAGAUCAAGAGAUGUGUUAGUGUAAUGCCAGAGACAUCCAUGCACUUGUAUAAUAAAUUACUCCCUCUGUUCACUUUUACUUGUCCACUAUUUCAGAAAUAGUUUUUCAUUUUUACUUGUCAUUUUUAACUUAUCAUUUUCCAAGACCUAAUACUAAACAUCAAUUAAUAGGGGUAGUGUGGCAACAUAGUCAUCUCAAUCAUUGUUUUUUUAGUGAGAGUGGCAAGUCCAAAUGUGACAAGUAAAAGUGAAUGGAGGAGUACUUUCUUCAAAAUUUUAUAGGCGGCUAGACUUGGCUACAACCAUAGACUAAGUUUCUGUGCAAUUCAAUUCAGAUUUCCAAGGGAGGAACGGAUCCUACCAGAUUAGUCUCUUGAAAUUAUUUAUUCAGCUUCAGAUUCUUCAAUUAAUUAGUUCUAUUUGUGCAGGUAAAUAAUAUUAGUGGCUAUCUUCCUGGGAGGAUUGUCUUCUUCUUGGUAAGUUACUGCUCAUCCUACUAAGUGGUCUCUUUUCUUUCCAAUAGACUACUGUGUCUUUGAGGCAUCUCCUGAAUUAUAUUGAAUAAUGUAGCUAGAUAUGAAGGAAUUGCUUCUAUUUCUCGUAAUGCCCGACUCCAUGAAAUAGAUACAAAUGAAAAACAGAAGUAGCAAAGACUGGAAUAAACUCACAUCCACAGAUGGUUACUAUUAAGCAGUGUUAUCAAAAGCAAAAAAUGCAAAAAAACUUACGGUUUGUUAGGGCUUUAAGUGCAAAGAUGAAAGAAAGCGUGACCGUUAAUGAAUGAAGACGCAAAGGGAGAAAAAAGUACAAAUAUAUAAUUCUCAAAAAAAAAAGUACAAAUAUAUUUGUUUAGUCCAAGACUAAUAAUUAUAAGCAUUAAUGCCAAAUAUAUGAAUAAAGAAAUUGAAUUUUUUUUUAACAAUAAAAUGAAAUAUCAAUUAUUUAGUGUUGCCUCUUCAGAAGAGGCUCAUUGUCAAGGGAAAGCAUGCCUUAGAACCUUGAUGACGAUAUUGAAGCACACAUUAAGCAAGGCAAAGCGCUCAAUACGUUUUGAGCCUCGCUUCAGGGCUUAAGCGCGCCUUUGAUGACACUGCUAUUAAGAAAAUGAACUUUGGGCCUAAAAGUUAUCUCAUGAGGUGAAAAUUUCUCAAGACCAUAUAAGGAGACAACAAUCCGUUCUCUCAACCAAUGUGUAAGUUUUAACAGUUACCACCUUAGUGUAGUCUUGUCUGUUCUUAGGGUUUCAAGGAAAAGAGAGAUUGAAAAUCAGAGUUUGGGAGCAGAGUUAGUAUUCUUGCUACUGGAUGAUAUGACUACUGGUACACACUGGUAAAUGGAAGAAUUCCAUGCUGUACAGAACAGGUCCUCUUACUGGUGUUCCCUUUAUCAUUUGAAUGUAUAACAAAGACCUGGCACAUUCUUGUGAUGGUGCUUCUCAUUUUGCAGAAGAGUGAUUUUCACAUUUGUCAUGGCCCUCCACUUAUCCCAGAAAAGUAAGGAAAGAAAGAGAACUGGUCAAACACACUAGCAUUCAUUGCAAGAUGGCAAUUUGCCUGAUCUAGACAUUUUAUUGUUUAUUUUGCUCCUCUCAUUUGCUCUUAAAUUUUGUUGGAAGUGCCCAUCAGAUUGAUAUGGUAUGCAGGUCAAUACACAUCUCACACCCCGUCCAAUUUUGCUAACAAGGCAUGGAGAGAGUUUGUACAAUGUUAGAGGCAGAAUUGGUGGUGACACUGCGAUAAGGUUUGUAUCCUCUAAACACCUUGAAGAUGAUAUAUAUAUGUGAACAUUUUAUAAUCCAUCUAAUACUGUCCAAGACAACAUUUUUUUGAACAUCGAUGGAGCUUCAAAUUUUUGACUGACAAAUUUCUUUAACAGUGAAACUGGGGAGCUCUAUGCAAAGAAGCUUGCCAAUUUUGUUGAAAAACGACUGAAAAAUGAAAAGGCCGCUUCUGUAAGUUCUACCUACUGAUGCUUCAAUUGUAUAAUUUUUUUUUUUCCCUUUUCUUUUCCAACUUCCACUAGUGCUUUUAUUGAAAUAGAUACGAAUGGGAACUGACCUACAGCAUCUGAUUGAGCUAUCACUGGGUGAGUUGGGGAGGGCUGGGAGAAAGAUUGGGCUUAAAGCAAUAGUGGAAAAACAUUCUUUUAUUAUGUUACUGUCAACAUAUCAAGAAAAUCUAGUUCUUCAAUUUUAAUGACUAAUCUAGUUCAUCAUUUUGAAACCUGUUCUGAAUCACUUUGUGUUCUCUGGCUUAAGAAGAAAGCUUCCUUAAUCGUUGAUGAAAGCACUUCCUUUUUCCUGAUAACUACAUCUCAAUAAAUAAAUAAGUUAAUAAAAGAAAAAGAACUGAAGUUCCCUGCUUUGGAUAGUAAUCUGUGCCAGGAGCAGGGACCUUUGAUCUUUCCCCCAAGGCGAGCAAGCAUUUUCUAUUUUCUUUUUUCUUUUUUGGCCUGAUAUUUUCAACUGGAAAAUUAGCUCUCUAGAAGAAGCAUGAUCACAGCUUUCUCUGAUAUUCGUAACUUCCUAUGUCAGAUGUAAUUUUGAAGUAAAAGGAUCUAAAUGCAGUACUUAUACUUACUAUCAUUUCUUACACAAACUCGAAGUAGGAUUAAUGGUUGCUAAAAAUCACAAAGCAAAAGUGCAUGAACCAUUAGCAGCCAACUUUUUCAGCUUAUACGGGAUGCACCACUUCCAGAAUUUAAAAAAUUAGUAUCAGCCCGUAACUAAGCUACUCCUAUUUAGUAGGACAGAUGUCAAACUUUUAUACUGAUCUUAAGAUUUAAGGAAUCCCUAUAUGGAAAAUGUGGUUCCCUAGCAGCUUAAUACACCUGUUUGCACAAAAAGAUCCACGUUCUCCUCAAAAAGGAAAUCAAGAAAUAAUAAAUAAAUUCAGGUACUGUUCACUUUUUGUGGGGGUUGAGAGGAGGUGAUUUAAAAGAAUUGGAUUUGUGGUCUUGCAGCUGAUCUUUGGGAAUGUGCGAUGUGAUAAUAUCUCAAAUUUCUUGCUUUUGAAGAAUUAAAAGCUUACUUUUUUUCAAGAACAUAAUGCACAUGAAGAAAAAAAUCAGCAUAAUCAUGCAUAUAAAGAGUACUUCUUAAAAAAAGUAUGAGCAUAUAAAGAGUGUCUCUAGGAGUUAUUAAGCUCAAAAGUUUCUAUUUUUCUUAUAUUUCUCCUUGAAAAGGGCCCUGUUUAAGUACCUUGAUGGUUUGUUAGGCUUUCAGUACGUAUUGCUGACUCUGCACAGAUCAUUAACAGUUGAAGAUAGCUGGUAGUGCUUACUCUGCACAACUUAUUCUAUAUAUGCUAGAAAAAAGUUGUAUAAAAUGCUCUAUUAUAUGAUAUGCUCUGAUGAGAUUGUAAGUGACCUAUGCUCAUCAUUUAUUUGAUGAUGAGCCUUUUGUGAAUACACAGUUACCUUUAUCUCAAAAAAAAUAAAAUGCUCUAUUAUAUAUUCUGUGACUUAGAUAUGGACCAGCACAUUGCAAAGAACAAUUUUGACAGCUAGUCCAAUUGCUGGGUUUCCCAAGGUUAGCUUGUUGAACCAUCGUGUGUUUGUUUGUUUUAAAUCAUGUCUUUAACUCUCCUGAAGUAAGGUUCUUCCUUUUCCCUCACUCCCUCUUCAGAUACAAUGGCGAGCCCUUGAUGAAAUAAAUGCUGGUGUAUGUGAUGGGAUGACUUAUGAAGAAAUAAAGAAAAAUAUGCCCGAAGAAUAUGAGUAUGCUAUAACUCUUCUUUACCUUUCGCAAUGCAAGCUUAUCCAUUUGUUUGUGACCUAGUAGGAUUUUAUCCAAGUAGAAUUUCUGUGGUGUUUAUAGGAACAGUCAGCAAACUAUGAACACAUACUGAAGGGAAGAUAUGCCUCAUCAGCUACAGAAAAGUGAUUACUAAGACAGAGAAUUGACCACAGAGUCUGUUUGGUGUCUAAUUAACGAGCUUAAUUUGAUUAGUUGCCCCAGUGGCAUAGUUCUUUCUUUUUUCAGUAUCUAUCUGUAAGUCAGUUACCAGAUAAAAAAUCUGAGAAGAUCUAUAGGCAUUUAUUCUAGCUGAUAAGGAUCUGAAUCAACGGGUGUUGAAAAUCAACUGGAUUGAACUGCUUUGAAAUGUAGUUAGAGUUGGAAAAGGUCUUCCGUGAUGGCAAGACCAUCACCUUUCCUAGUUUGGGAAUUCGUUGAACAACUGAUGAAAGACUCAUAUAUGGAGUAAAGACAUCUCCUUGGAAAUCAUAGGGUUUUUCUGCUUCAUUAUGUUCUAACUGGCUGUGUGAUUUACUCUUUCUCUUCGCAUGUUUUCAUAGUAGUGUGUUGCUUCCUUGUGAGAAGAAAUGAAUCCACCAUUCUCCUGUAGUGAAUACACUAUUGAACAACACUGUAUUCUUUUAAAAAAAAUAUUAAUUGGUAUGUCAAAUUGCUUGUUACUUAUUUAUACAUACAGGUCACGCAAAAAGGACAAGCUGAGGUAUAGAUACCCUAGAGGCGAAUCUUAUCUUGAUGUCAUACAAAGGUUUGUUAUUUAACCCUUUAAAUUGAAAGGUUUGGUACUUUCAAUACAUUAAAUUUAGAAUCCUUCAUUUUUCUCAUUUUGUUCUAAUUAACAUUCAACAUGUUGCAGGUUGGAGCCGGUGAUUAUCGAGCUUGAAAGACAAAGAGCACCAGUGGUGGUGGUAUCUCACCAGGUUGGUAAAUGUUGCUGAAGCAUUAAAAUAUCUCGCUUUUCCAUGCCAAUAAAGCACGUGCAUGACUUCAAAUUGUCUCUUUCUAAAAUUUUUUGUAGGCCGUAUUGAGGGCUUUGUAUGCUUAUUUUGCUGAUAGGCCUUUGAGUGAAAUUCCACACAUAGAGGUAAUUACUUGAUCUUGCGUGUGAAGACUUUGAAGAGGAUCAUUAUAUUAUAUUCCACAAUGAAUGGGGAUACAUAUCUAUUUGUGCUAAUUUGGUAGUUAAAGCAUAGUGAACAUAUCUUCUAGACAUGAAAAUGAUAUUUAUCUUCUUUGGGCAAGCUGCGGAGUUACUUUUCCUUUCUUUCAUUCCAUCUGUCUUGCUUGAAUUAGUUAAUUAAGUUGCUGAAAGAAACGAAGUUCAUUAAGGCUCCUCUAUGACACCCUGGUUUAAAUAAGGGUAGAUAAGGCACUGACAUGAUUCUAAAAAAAGAGGUUGAGCAUACAACUUUCAUUAUUGGUGUUAUCUUUUGGGUUGUUUGGUAUGAAGAAAAAUAUUUCUAGGAAAAUGUUUUCUAAAAAAUAAAUCAUUUCCUGGCAACAGAAUACCAAUGAAAAAUGUAUUUCAUUAAAGAGGGAGAAAACAAACUUUCCUCGCUUAUGUAUAACUCUGAUGGUUCAUUUGGAAUAGUUUUAAAAUUUUAGAGAGUGUUGGAUAGUGAGACAGUUUCUUCUGGAAAAUGAUUUCCGGAAAAUACAUUUUCUGGGAAAUAUUUCCGUUCAUACCAAAAACAUCCAUUACUCAUCAUUUAAUCAGGAAAAUGGCCUUGAAGUUGGAAGUGUCUGCUGAUCAUUUAUAGGCUUAAUGCAUAACAGUCCCUUAAACUUGUGAGUAAAUUUCAUUUAAACACUGGAACUACAGCUUGUUCAAUGAAAUUUACAAAAGUUCAAGACUAUUGAUAUAUUAAAGCCAUACAUAUGCAUUCUAAUGGCUGGAAGACGAGGCAAAGUUUUGUAGUGGCUAUAGCCGUAUAGGUGAUGGUUUCUGCAUUUAUGCUUUGUGCAAUUUUAUGUGGUGAACUUUGAACAAGUCGAAAGAUCCAUUUAUUGUACCCUUGUCCUUGUUAAACUUGCAGAUGCCACUUCACACAAUCAUAGAGAUACAAAUGGGGGUUACAGGAGUACAGGAGAAGAGAUACAAACUGAUGUAGGUCAUUGCAACUUGACUUUCUAAUACGUAUAUGCAGCAAUUCUCUCAUUCAAAUUGUAGCAACUGAUACCCAAAAAAUUGUAUAUCGACGAGUGUUUGACAUCAAAGUGUAUCAAUUUGAAGGCUUCAUCUUCUUCUUAUUCUGCAUUCUCCGAUCCCUUCUUCUCUCUUUUUUUAAGUCUCUUAAUUUCUUUGUGAUUUCGCGAAGGAUUCAUACUAUUGUCGUUUUGAAGAUGAUAAAUUUAAGGGAAAAGGAUUGAAAAUACACCUCAACUUUGGUUUAUUGUUUGACUUUACCCUCGCCAUUAAAAUGAAGUUAAUUUUACCCCUCCCGUUAUUAAUUUCACCAAAUUUACCCCUCAUUAAACGGAAUCCCCCAAAUUGAUCCAAAUUACCCGAAUUUAAAAAAAAAAACCCUAUUUCCUAUUUUUAACCCAAUGCCGUGCCCCAUUUAGAAUAACCCGGUUAACCCUAUUUUACCCAUUUACCCAUUCUCUCUUUGAAUAGAUAAUCUCCUUUUUCUCCCAAAUUUUCCAUAUAACCCAAAUAGAGAAUGGGUAAAUGGGUAAAGGAAAUUUGGGAGAAUGGGUAAAAUAGGGUUAAUCGGGUUAUUCUAAAUGGGGUGGGGCAUUGGGUUAAAAAUAGGAAAUAGGGUUUUUUUUUUAAAUCGGGUAAUUUUGGUUAAUUUGGGUCAAUUUUGGGGAUUUCGUUUAAUGAGGGGUAAAUUUGGUGAAAUUAAUAACGGAAGGGGUAAAAUUAACUUCAUUUUAACGGCGAGGGUAAAGUCAAACAAUAAACCAAAGUUGAGGGAUAUUUUUAAUCCUUUUCCCUAAAUUUAAAUAUCUACUUCGCCCUUCUCCAAAUUCACAUAGACAUUUAAAGUGUCAUAAGUAGCAAGAUUAAAUUUAUUUUCAACUUUGCCUAUAAUCCUACUAUUGAAUCUUGAAGUUAUCUAUGUUUCUUACUUCUUAAUUAGCCAAAAGAAAAAAACUGAUUUAUGUUUUAUGUUCAAUGCAUUGACAGUUUGACACUAUAAAGAAUUUGUUAACUAUCAGGUUAAGUUGACCUAUAAUAACGCGCAACUCUAUAUAUCAAUCAUAAUAUAAUAAUCUAGAGAUCUAAUAUAGUGACAACUUGCUAUACUCAGUUAACUAGCACUAAUAUCAAAUCAAUAAGAGGAUUCUACAAGUUGGGAUAGUACAACUCGUAAAAUUACAAAAGAAAUAAAAUACACUCCAUUUGAUGGUCAAUACUUUUUCAUUCUUGAUGGAAGCAAUCAUGCAACGACUUCUGAACUUGUAAUAGAUGAGUUGAGAUGAAGAGAAGCUCGGCAUAAAGGACAAUUUGAGUGACCAAUUAGCCAUUUAUCAAUACAUUGAGCAUGAUAUACAUGUUCACAGUAAGGCAAUAACUUAACCAUUUCAUCAGCUCCAAAUAAUCCCAAACAAAUUGGGCACUCAUCACUUCUUUGAACACUAUCUAACUUACAUAUUGUCUCACCAAAUAAGAAAACAGGCAGCUUUUGAAUAGUUUCUUCAUCAAGUCCCUUGUUGAUUUGUACCAAAACUGCAUUUGCAUCUGGUGGUGAGCUCAAUAUUUCACUAGAAAAGAGGUUAAAUUUACAAUCAAAAUAGAAGAAAAAGAAGGCAACAAGUAAUACUAAGAUGAAGAAAAAAAUAAUUGAAAGGCCAUGGUUUUGGAAAUGUGAGGUUAUUAAUUUGAGGUCACUGAAGUACCAGUUUGAAGUUUGAGUAUCUUGUAAAGACAUGACCAGUUGAUCAAUAACGAGCAACUCAAAUAAUGGAAGUGGGAAAAAAGUAGAGACAAUUCUGCUGCCUAGCUACUUAUUAAUACUCUCUUCCUCUGUCUCAAUUUAUGUGUCUUAGUUUGACUGAGCACAAAGUUUUAGAAAUAAAUGAAGAUUUUUUUAAUCUCGUGAUCUUAAAUUAAAGAUGUGUGUAGUCUUUUAAAUCUUGUUGUAGUACUAUUAAACUUGUCACGUAGAAUGUUAGAAUUGAAAAACUUACUAAAUAUAAAAAUGACAUAUUUGUAGGCAAAUCAAAAAGAAAAGUAAGACAUUUAGAUUGAGACGGAAGGAAUACUGUUGACAGAUGGAGAAAAAAUAUAACUACAAACGCGAAUUUCAAAUGGACAGCUCCAUCAGAAUGUCAUUAGAAAUAUGGCAUAUCCGAGGAGAAAUCCGUUCUAUGUUAAAUUCAUUAAAAUUUAGAUGAAUUUGAGAUUCUAAAUUCAUAAUGGUUAGAAGCUAAAGUUUAAACCAAGUAAAUUUAACUCCUAAAUUUGUCUAUAUUAUGCCAUUAUAUUACUAUUAUAUAUGGAUCAAACCGUUUGUAGUCUUUUUAACUUCUAUAUUGUAACAAUAAAAACGAAUAUUAUCAAAUUGCUUACUAAAAGAAAUGUAUAAGUAAUUCUCAGCAGACAGCAGUAGGUGAAAUUAAUAAUCUGAAAAUUAAGACAGAUAAUCUUUUAUAUUUAAAUUAUUUUAAAUCACAUAGUAGCAAUAAAUCCAACAGCCAACUCCCUCUCUUUGUUUAGGAAAAAAAAAGAAGAAGAGUAAUUAAACUCACUCUCUUUGAGUUGGUUUACUGCAUUGUCAACUGUUUCAUUUAUUUUCAGUAGCAGCAAUAAGGCCCAUUGCCCAUACACCAUGGAUUCAAAUAAUAAAAAAUAAAUAAGUAUCACAAUUUUUUAUUUUUUUAAAAAGUGGUCAGGAUUGAAAAUUGAGGAAGUAAAUGCUAAAAUCAUUAUUAAUAUGGAUAAAUAGAACCUCAUAAAAUGGACAAUGGAACAGAUUUCUUAGUUUUCUUACCCAACUUAAAGAUAUAGAAUAAUUAUAAGUAAAUUUUGUAAAAAAUGAAAUUUCAUUGUAAAACAUGUUUGAAGGUCUCCCAAACAAAGAAAUAGUGAAAAUUGGAAUCAUUGUAAUUUUUAAUUUGCACAAAAUGAAUCUUUACAUGGCGAUCUAAAAAGUUCAUAAAUAAUAUGACAAGUAUGGGCCAAACCUUAUGGUCCUCUAUUUUAAAAGGGAAACUUAUAUAAAUAUACACAUUCAAAAAAUAUUUACCAUUUAUAGCAAUAACAUUUUUUUCUCAUUUGAUCAGUUUUAAUACAUUUAUAAUACAAUUUUAAUACAUAUUACAAAGAACAAUUUAUUAUUCACAUAUAAUACAAGUUUUAUUGAUGGAUCACAUAUUUUAUACACUUAUAAUACACUGUGUCAAUUUUUUACCAAUCAAGCAUAAUAUAUUUUAAAAAAACAAUUAUAAUACAUAUAUAUUGCAUACCUAAUUCACUUUUGUUACAUAGCAAUUUUAACAUAGUAUUGCUAAAAAUGGUACUAAUAAAUAAAAAGUAUUGUUAAAAUCAGUAAUUAUUUAUUAAAAAAAUACCCUUCCAAGUAAUUUUUCCUCAAAAUAUGGGUCGUUCAAAGUCUUGGACUCGGCCCAAUAGAUAACAGAGCCCAUUAGUGGUACUUAAUAAUGAAACCUGGUAAGUAGAAAGUCCCACAUCGAAGCGCAUACGAAGAACAGAGAGGCUAGAAGGAAUAUAUAAAGCGCUCCUUCAUUUCUGUUAUACUCACGCAGCCACGCAAUGAACACAUAGCGAACUAUUCUUUCGCCUUUUACUAAAGAAUACCGUGUGUGCGUUGCAAAUAGUGGCAUACGCCAAUUUUUGGAGGGAUUCUCUCUACUGAGGAUCCCAACAAUUCUAGUUAUAAUCUUUUUUCAGUGAAUUUGGGUAAUUUCCUGCACAUAAUAUAACCCUAACCCUAAGAAGUUUAAAAAAUUAAAUAUCUAGUCUGGUUGAGCCAUUUUUGUGUCAGUUUAGUGUUGGAUGGGGAGGGGGUGGGUAGGCAGAGUUUGGGAGACAUUUUGAGGCCAUGUGUAUCUAGCGGACAUUGGUUCAUGUUAUUAUCAAGUCAUAGGCUCAUCAAAGCAUGUAGUAUUUUACUUCGUUACAUGGGUCAUGUUAUUAUCAGUUCAAUUGUACUAAGAAUGGAACCCCAAACUUGCUAAAGAAGGCAUUAGCUUUGAACUAGAAUAUUGAGGCAGGCAGUGAGAUCUCCUUUACAAUGCUGUUAAUCUCUACUAAACUAAUGCUAUUCAUCUCUCUUGUGAAAGUCAAUGUGUACUAUAAACCAUUUGUAUGGGAAACCCAUGUUUUCAUACAGUUAUUAUCUAACCAUACUAUGAGCAGCAUCUGCGUUGUAUGACGAACCAGUACAGCUACUUCCACCAGCUCCUCUUAUGGCACGAAAGGAUGCAACAACAGUGGGUUGUCUUCUCAGUUCAAUCCUUCACCUGAAGAUGAAUCAGCCCCCACCACUGCAUCCAUCCAAGGCCAUGUCACAAGUCUUCUAAGGAGCCAUUUGAGUACUCAUGACCUGAAACACCGGAACUUCCAUUUGGUAAUCGACUCGUGCUGGUGGGAGUUGAAUAAGGGGAGUAGGUUGAAGCAGAACUGCCUCGUGUAUAUCGGUUCUGAGCAGUGCUACUUCUUGUUGCCUUAAGACGGGCCUUCCUCCCCUGAGGCCAAGUGCAUACAAGUAUUAAUAGAAAAUAAUUUGGAUCAACUGAUGAGAGGUAAUUUGAGACUGGCUACUGAAAUAGAAAAAUAAUAUACCUUUCCCAUGCAUUUCUCCAAGUGAGGAGCAAAUCGCCCAGCCAUGAUAGAUCUGCCACAAUUCAUACAUUCAAAUAUUUCAGUUGCAACAGGAGGAUGGGUUUGCCCAAAUAUAUCUACGACAUAUUUGCCAUUUGUUUCACUACUGUUGCUAGGAUCAGCUACUGUUGCCCGGGCUUGUGCAGACAACCGAAGUUCUUCCUCCUCUUCUUCUAAAUUACGAUCAAGGCCUAGUUUCGCUACGCGGUGACACUCAGAUGCAACAUCAGUAAUGAUGGAAUCAAGAAGCUCAUCAAAAACAUGAGCGGACAACUGCACAUGGAUCACAAAGCAGACUAAUAGUCAAAUAUCAACAAGAAUCACAAAGCAGACUAAUAGUCAAAUAUCAACAAGAAAAGCCUGAAGUAGAAUACAGUAAAUUGACCCAUAUACAAGAUAUUCUAACUGUAAACAACAUAGGGGAACUGAGCUUAAAUAAGGAGUGCCACACCCCUGCCUCCAAACCCCGAGGCCCACCUUUGAUCAUCAAUGGGAAUAAGGGCAGGAACAGUCUAUAUCCAGAAAUUUAAGAGUAAAGUAAACAUAAAAACAAAAACCAUAUGCAAUCAAUAGAAAAGCUGGGAAAGACGAGAACAAGCAUGCUUGCCCACACGAAGAAGAAACAAUGGAGUCAAAUAAUAGCAAGAUUCUACUAAUUGCCUUCAGAAACAACUGAUGCAUACAAUUCACUAUAGCAAUUAAGCAAGAUAACCAGCAAAUAUAAGUUUCUGGUUUCAUUUAAGAUGUGGGUUACUUGUGGUUGAGAGAUGUUAUCCUCAUUUGAUGCCGACAUGAAUCUCUCCUCAGAAAUCAAUGAACAAUAAAAUCCACACCACAAGGUUCGGCACAAGAAAAAAACCUGCAACCUAGAUAGACAACAACAGAACAUGAUCAAGAAGAGAAUAGGAGAAAAAUAUAAAAUAAAAUACAAACAACAACUAUGUCACAUGCCCAAACAAGUUGGAUUCAUGAUUUUUCUCUAGUUAAUGUGUAAAGGAAAAAUAAGUUUACAAAUUUAGCUGGCUAUAUCAUCUUCUUGAUUUUAUAGAUACAUUACUACACUACAACAACAACAACAUAUCCGGUGUAAUCCCACAAGUGAGAUUUAGGAGGGUAGAGUGUACGCUGACCUUACCCCUACCUUGGGAGUGGGAGAGGUUGUUUCUGAUAGACUCUCCGCUUAAGGAAACACAUAACGGAAAUAAAGAGAAGAUCAUGGCAAAAUACUAUAGAAAACAUGACAAAGUAAUGCGAUAACCAAAGUACAAGAGAUAGGAACAAAAUUUGAAGGACAAGAAACUACCAGAGAAACAGUACGAGUUUACGACUACCGGAAUGAAAGGAUAAGCAUGACAAUGCUUUAUCACCUAACCUCCUAACCUAAGUCAUGUCCUCCAUAACCUCCAAUCUAACAUCAUAUCUUCAGAUUGUGUCAUAUACAUACUAUAUGAGAAAUGAAAAUACAAUCUUAACAAACAAAUGGAUUCGUGAUUUUCUCGAGUUACAUGCUCUCAUCAUUAUGAUAAAGUCUGACUAGUGAACAGCAGCACUAGCACAUUACCAACAACUAAAUUUGCAACAGAUUUGAAGAUUCCAAACCAAGUAUCAAUGAAAAAAACAUAGACAUCCUUUUUAUUCCCAGCUCAAUGAAGCUACUUCAGUUCAUACAAACUUAAUCCAUCGGCUGGAUUUCAUUUCGAUUAAUUUAGAAGUUUAAAGUCGAUCUCAACCAUGAUCAAGCAUCAAUCAAUAAAAUCUUAAUUCCAAACUAAUUUAAUCAAACUGUUCCACAUCCGAUCUGCAAUUUUCCGAUUAAAAUCCCUGCCAAAUCUAGUAAACGUAUGCAAUAAACUUACACCAAAACGUAAAGAAAAAACUUACAGAUCGAGAAAGAAGAUUGUUCCUUCAACAGAGAGGAGUUGGGAAUUUCGUACCUGAAUUUGGGAACAGGGGCAGAAGGGACGAUGGGCUUCAGUGUUCGGGUCGGGUCGGGAAUUUGGAGCUCUACGGUCAGCUACUUUGUAAACUGCCUCGUGUAGUAUUUUGAUAGGCGCAUUCGGGUAGAGGCAUUAAAUGGGUUACAAUAGAAAUCGAUUGAAUCACUUUAUUUUGGGCUCAAAUUAGCUAAAAUUUGGAUUGGGUCAUGACCCACUCAAUUUUACUCGUUUAAUCUUGAUAAUUUUAACAUAUUAUUAUUACUUAACACUUUUAUAACUACAAUUUUGAAUUUUAACUCUAAAAAAUAAAAAAAGUUACAAAUGGACAAAAAAUCCUAGAAGAUAUAAAAUACUUUCUUUGUUCCAUCUUAUGUGACACUAUUUUCUUUUUAGUCCGUCCCAAAAAUAAUGUCGUUUUACUAUAAUCGUAAAUAAUUUAACUUUAAAAUUCUCAUUUACCUUAAUGAAAUGGUUUACAUGCACACAAAUAUUAAACUAUUUUAGAUCUUAAGUUUUAAAAGUCUUCCUUUUUUUCCUUAAUUAUCGUAUCAAGUCAAAAGAUACCACAUAAAAUGACGAAGGGAGUAGACCGUAAAUAGUAAUUUAUACCUUCACUGGUUCUAUAGCUUGCCAACAUCUUCGAUUGAUUAGAGAAGAUGAAGAUGGAAUUUGUUGAAGUUUGGUGGACAGAGAAGAGUGACUGUUUACUUUCCUCUUUUUACUGUUUUUAGAUUUUUUGCCCCUUUUUUUUGUUGUUGUUUUAUCUUGGGUUUGGAUCAAUCUGAUUUGGGCCUUCUGUACUCUUUUUGUUUAAUAAUAAAGAGCAACUUUUAUAUAUAACAAAUAUAAAAAUUAUAUUUGUAUGUUAUAACUAUAGUUUGUAUAAUUAGCAAAUUUUAUGUUUGUUAUGGAGCUUUUGAUUUGACUAAUUCGCUACGAACAUCCAAUUUUAUACAAAUUGUUCAGUUUUGUAUAAAUUCAUUUAUACAUUGUAAUUUGUAUAAUAAGAUCUGUAUUUAUAUAAUUAUAAGUGUAUAUAACGAAAAUAUAUGUAUUUGUAUUUGUAUAUAUAUUUUUCUCUCACUUUACACAAACACAAAUGCAUUUUAUACAUUUAAAUGUAUAAAAUGGUUAAUUGUAUACCAAAAAUGGCUAAUUGUAUACCGAAUCAAAUGACAAAAAAAUGGGAUGUUUGUUGUGAAUUACAAUUAAAAUAAACUAUGGCUAUAGCAUUUAAUUUGAAUUAAUAGUUUGUUAUUUCAUACAAUUUUCCCAAUAAUAAAUGGCUCAUGAUCCUUUGGUUAAAAAAAUAAUAAUUCUUUCCUUUAGUAUAGGAUAAUACAUUACAUUAAUGCAAAUAAUUUUUUUAAAAAAAUGGGUUAGAAAUUGCAGAUUAUAUUGGCUCGAUUGAAGAUUCUUUAAUAAUGGGUUAAGUCUUGAAUGAAUUGAGACUGAACUCUCAAAUUAUUUUGAGCUCAUUUUGACACCUCUAAUUUGGGGUAAUCUUUUUAUUUUUUUAAUUAUCUUUCUAGGUAGAAACUACAUAAUUAGACAUACUCCACUAUUACUACCAUAUAUUUGUUAUUAUCUAUACUUUUAAAAUAUUACAUAUUUUAACACUAAUUAAGAGUUUCUUAUAAUAUAUUAAGGAAGAUAUACAUAUACAUAUGGGUGGACAUGGUGUGGAAUAUACCGAAUUAUCAUAUCAUAUCGAAAUUUUUAAUACCAUGAUUUUGAUAUUAUGGUAUACAUUUUGAUUUUUUAAAUAUUCGGUAUGGUAUUUGGUUUUUAGUAUUUAAAAAUAACAUACCGAAGUAUAUAUAUAUAUAUAUAUUAGUGGUAUUGAAAUACUAACAAAUAUGCACCUAAUAUUAGUGAAAACUAAAUGUUUAGAAGUUGAAACUUUGAUUAUUCUAUUUUGAUUGAAAUGUAAUUGAUUAACAAAAGGAGUUGUUUGUACUUUCUUUUGAAUAUAUACUUUUACAUUUGUAAUGUGUUAGUAUGAUACAAUUGAGACCUUUUUUUAAUUGUCGAAUCAUAAUACUAUAUUAUAAGAGUAUAUAUUAGUCGAAGUUGAACAAACUAUGGUUAUCGAUUUACCAUACCAUAGAAUAUUGAAAUCGAACCAUUCCAAAUUAAAUUGGUAUGGCAAUGGUAUAAUGUUUUAUAAACUGAAAACCGAAAUUACGAUAUCGAACGAACCUUUCAAAUACCGUACCGCACCAUACCAUGCUCACCCUUGCCUAUAUGCGUAUUUUUGUUAACUUAUGCACUAAAAUAGAGAGAGAGACGAGCGAGAUGGCGAGAGAGGCGAACGAGAUUUGUUAUGUAUCCCAGAUACAUGCGAAUCCACACUUGGAUACAGUGUAUCUAGAAAAACUUACACCUAACUUUGACCCAAUGUAUCCCGAAAUAUAUGUAUCUGGACAUAUCUUAAUGUAUUUGGACACACCAAAAUCUGAUAAGAUUUGUAAUAUUACAAAUUAAAAUAUAUCUAAUUCAUUAGCUCUUAAACUGGUGAAAUUUAAAUAAUUUUUUCUUUUUUUAUUCGGUCGACGAACCGAACUCCAAAUUUUAGCUGAACCUUAUUAAAUCA